CUUUUCUUUUUCCUUGAUGGUUUUAGUUUAAUAUCUUCUACUAUUUUUUUUUCUUUGAGCACAUACCUUUCUUUUAUAAUCAUAUUUUCUUCCUUUAAGCAUAUACAUUUUCUAUUCCUACCCUCAUAAUGUCUUUAAGUCAGAACUUGUUCACAUCGAUCUUUUAUUGGAUGAUACAUAUAGUUUUCUUAUAAAUAUUGGUACUUUGGUUUUUGAGUGUGAUUGAUUACUACCAAAAAGUGCUAUUUUGUAGACCUAAUUAUAAUGGUUUUAAGCACCUUUGAGUAGUAAUCAUAUUUAUUUAACCCAAUUAAUUCAUUAAGGUCCUUAGUAAUUGGUUUUAACCAUUUUGUGGCAAGUUUACAUGUUUUUAUCAGCUUAUGAAUCAAUUCAAGCAUGCCAAAUGAUGGAGGAGCUACUUGGACAAGUUAUGGCAAAGCUUUUGGAAGCUCAAAUUCAUGAAGAACCAAGCUUUGGAGCUCCAUAGCCCUUUGCCAAAGUCGUUCAAAGUAUGCAAGGAAAGAACAAUGGAAAAGAGGAAAAGCAAGCAAAGUGAAGAGAAGCAAAGAGGACAGCAGCUGCAGUCUUCUUUUGCACUUUUGGAGUACUUUCCGAAGUCCAUUUUCUACAUGCUAUAUACCAUUUCAAAGCUCUGGAAGUCAAGAAUCCAACGCUUUAAACCGUGUAUGAUUUGGAGUUGAAAUGAGGAAGAUAUGGCCUUCGGAAGCCAACUGCUCCAGGUUAUGCGAAAUUCGCAUAACACCUUCAAAAUUUGCAUAACCCAAGCGUGUUGCGAAUUUUCCUCUGCUUUUGCCGACUCCACUUUAGAUAUUUUCCUUUGUAUUUUGUGAUGUAAUUUCCCUUCUUAUCCUUGUAACUAACAAAUCGCAAGCUUUUGCUUUUGUAAAGACUAUAUAAGGGGUGGAAAUCACCUCUUGGAAUAUAUAGAAUAGAUAUUACGUUUAACACAGAGAAAUAUACAGAGCUCUCUUGUUUCUCUUUUCUCUUUGCUAUUUUAUUUUCUUGGAAGCCAAACAACCUCUGAGGGCUUUUCCUUAGAGGAUGAUUGGCUAAAACUUUUAGUUUCUCAAAGUAUGGAUGUUAUGUGAUGGCUUGGAUGCAAUCCCAUGGAAAUUUCUCGCACCCGGAAGGUAAGGUAGUCGUUUUUCAUUAAUGGUUCAUUAAUGCAAAGUUUGGUUUUUAUUUCCUUUGGACAACUUCCAACGGCCAAUACUUGAUAAGCUUUUGGAUUUCUAUCCAUUAGUUAUCUCAUACGAGUUAUUGGAAGGUGAGGUUUUCAAUUCCAAGUUUUUCAUUAAUCCGUUAGAACCAAUUUCAAUGGCCAUUGCAAGGUGAGUUUAUCACCUAGAAUGACUUUGAGUUGCCAAUAUUUGGUAAGCUUUUGGCUUUAGACCAUUAGUUAUCUCUUACGAGCCAUUUAAAGGAAGUCUAAGGUGAAUAACCAUUGAUGAAAUUCACUACCAUCUGUUUUGUCAUUUUAAAGGAUUAAAACUUGAUUUGCUAAAUCCAUACCAGUUCGGGAAGCAAGCAUCACCAUAGUUGCAACCCUAAACCGAGGAGCCUAUCCUGAGAUUUCCAAUUUGCAUAAGAGCCUGAGCAUAGCUAUCCUAUCUUUGAGAAACUUGUUUUUACACCCUUUCAUUUUAGUCUUUAAUGUUAGCUUAGAUUAGUUUAAAUCUUUCUAAAACAUUUACAUAUUCUUUUAAAGCUAACAUCCAUAAGAAAAUCACUUAUUUUCCUAAUUUGAAUAUCACUAGUGUUUGCGAAAACCCUUCCCAGUGAACGAUCCUAGAACCACUAUGCUAUAGUAGCUUGGCUACUUUAGUAAUAGUAUUUAAGGUAUAAAUUUUGUUGAUACGCCUUUAAAGCUAAGCUACCAUGAGUCGAAUCAGUGAUGCAUCUUCUUCUCCUUCUCCUACUACUACUCCCAUAUCUUUUGAAACAAUGGAUCCUUCUCCCUCACGUUCUUCUCAACAUCUUCCAAGCUAUGAUUGAAAAACUUUUUACUUUGCAUAAGAUAGAUACUUGGGAUUUGGUACUUUUACCACCUGUAUGGUAUAAAUUAUAAGGAGACUUUUGCUCAUGUUACAAAUGUGACUAAUAUUUGUACUCUUAUUAUAGUUGCUUCUAUUUUUUCUCUUACUUAGAUGUAUUGUGACAACAAAAAUACUAUUUAGAUUGCUCACAACUUUGUUUUUUAUGACAUAACCAAAUGUUGCGACAACGAAAGCUUUGAUGCCAACAAUGUUAGUUCAAGAACACAAAGAUAAAACAAUCACACAUAUGGUACACGAGGUUUUAACGUGGUUUGGCCAACCAUGCCUACGUCCACGGAUAGAGAGAAUGAUUCCACUAUACAAUAGAGAAUAUUACAGAGGACAGAACUAGAUACAAGUAUUGGGUUCUCGAAACAUCCCAUGUUUCCCCACUCCUUGUAUCCAUACCUUACUACGAGCCCUCUCGCUCCACCGGGUACCUCCUGUUCUUCUUCACAUCUCUAUCCACCUUGUAUAGUCUCUACAGGCCCAUCUCCAUCUCAUGACUUUUUCCCCUCAUGACCUAGAAUAUUUAUAGAGAUAUUUCCAAGAACCUUCCUUAUUCUAUAAGGAAGUCUAAUAUUAUAAUAAUAUAUCAACUUAGAAAUAUUCUAUAUAAUAUUCUUUACAAAAAAGGAAUCUAUACUAAUUAAGAAUUUGAGACACUUCCUAUCAAUCUCCACCUUGGACCAAAUUCCAUGAAGUUAAUCUUCAAUCUCUCCAUGACACAAACUUUUUUGUAUCAUAUCACCACGAAAGAGCAAUUGACUCCACCUUCAGUGAAAAUUCCUUUUGUUUUCAUCUUGUGUGCUUUGUGAUCUUUUACUCUUCCAGAAAUCUUCAACCCAAGCUUUGAUACCAGUUGUUGCGAUAACGAAAGCUUUGAUGCCAACAAUGUUAGUUCAAGAACACAAAGAUAAAACAAUCACACAUAUGAUACACGAGGUUUUAAUAUGGUUCGACCAACCAUGCCUACAUCCACGGAUGAGAGAGAACGAUUCCAUUAUACAAUAGAGAAUAUUAUAGAGGACAGAACCAGAUACAACUAUUGGGUUCCUGAAACAUCCCAUGUUUCCCCACUCCUUGUAUCCAUACCUUACUACGAGCCCUCUUGCUCCAUCGGGUACCUCACAUUUUUCCUCACAUCUCUAUCCACCUCGUAUAGUCUCUACAGGCCCAUCUCCAUCUCAUGACUUUUUCCCCUCAUGACCUAGAAUAUUUAUAGAGAUAUUUCCAAGAACCUUCCUUAUUCUAUAAGGAAGUCUAAUAUUACAAUAAUAUAUCAACCUAGAAAUAUUCUAUAUAAUAUUCUUUACAAAAAAAAAAAAUCUAUACUAAUUAGGAAUUUGGGACACUUCCUAACACCAAACAUAUUAAAAUUGAUUAUCAUCUCACUCGUUAUCACAUUCAACCUAAGACUCUUACUUUGUCUUUUGUUUCUUCUUUCAAAUAGAUUGUAAAUUUGUUCAUCAAGUUAGACUUGUUCACCUGCAUGGUAUGGAUUAUAAGGAGGCUUUUGCUCAUGUUACAAAUAUGACUAAUAUUUGUACUCUUAUUAUAGUCGCUUCUAUUUUUUCUCCUACUUAGAUGUAUUGUAACAACAAAACUACUAUUUAGAUUGCUCACAACUUUGUCCUUUAUGACAGAACCAAACAUAUUGAAAUUGAUUAUCACUUCACUCGUUAUCACAUUCAACUUAAGACUCUUAUUUUGUUUUUUGUUCGUUCUUUCAAAUAGAUUGCAAAUUUGUUUAUCAAGUUAGACCCAUUUUCGUGUUUUUGACUUUUGGUUCACAAACUUUUGAUGCUUCUUGCAACCGUAUCAUGAGUUUGUGAGGGAUUUUAGAAGUUAUUAAUACAUUUACAAACUUUUGAUGCUUCUUGCAACCGUAUCAUGAGUUUGUGAGGGAUUUUAGAAGUUAUUAAUACAUUUAGUUACUAUAUAUUUAUUUAUUUAGUUACUAUAUAUCUUAUUUAUUUAGCUACAAUAUUAUAAUUAUUUUCUUUCGUUUUAGAAGUAAGAGUUAAUUUUUUUUUUUCGAAUCUUUUUUGGAUUUCAACAAAUAUUACAACUAAGUUACCCUUUAUUCAUUAGUCUUCAUUCAAUUCAUAUUAAUAACGAAAUUUUUUAAAAUUCCCAUUAUAUGAAAUGUCUAAAAAGAGAAAAACAUGCGAAGAAAAAAAAGUUCCAAUUUUUUUUUUUAGUUCUUAUAUUUUAUCAAGCACUUUUUGGAUAAAAAGUAAAAUUAUUAAAUGAGGUUAUAUAUGUAAUUUUUAAUACAUAAAAAUUAUUUUUUCAAAUAUGAGUAUUAUCCCAUCCUUUUUAAUAAAAUAUUUUUAUUAAAAAUAUAGUUUUUCGGUUUAAAAUAUUUGAUUGUUAUGCUAUCCUACACUUUGGACUCUUUUCCUUUAGAAAAAAGAAAAAAGAAAAAGAAAACAUAUAUAGAGUAUUUUUAAUACAAAUCAAUUAUUGAUUAACCCUCAAAACCUUUGCCACCAAAAAACUGGACAUAAUACUCAAACUAGGUUUAAAUCCUAAAUACAAAAAUAAAUUUGAAAAAGAUUUUGGGUUAGGUGGAAAAUAGGAGAUAAUUAGGCUUUAUUUGACAAUUAUUUUUUAGAACAAUUUUUUGUUUUUUAAAAAAAGAAAGGGAAAACAUGCUUGACAACAAGAAAAUUGUUUUCUAUAUUAUGAAACAUGGUGUUUUCUAUUUUUAAAAUAGAAAAUAUGAUGUUUUAAAAAAAUAUCUUUUAAUUAUUUUCAUUUGUUUUUGUUGGAUUGUUUUAAAAAAUAAUUAUAAAAACAUGUAAAAUGAAAUAAAAUACUAAAUAUAAAAAUGAUUUUUAAAAUACAUUUAAAAAUAUUAAAAACGGAUUAAAAACGUACAUCUUAUUUCCGAAACAAAUUUUUAUUUUAUAAAACAUUAGAUAAUAGUUUUCAAGAACCGUCUUUAAAAACUAUUUUCGAAAAUAGUUAUCCCUCAAACAAGAUCUUAAUUUCAUACGAGACCGGUAAUGUGAAUCAACAAAAUAGACAAACACACAUUUAUCUUUAAUUAAGAAUGUUUUUGUCCCAUGCAGAACUAAUUACAUUAAACUUAGCUAUCAUGCACCAUGUUUUCCUGCCGGUAAGUCAUUUAAGCUGCCAUGCGAACCACGCUCCGCCGACCUCCAUCACUCACAAUAAAAUUAAUCAUUCAUAAUAUUCAGAAGAUAUAUUAAACUGUGAGCAAUUUCAACAUGUAAAAUCACAUGGUAUGACUAUGAGAUUUGAGUUCUCUUUAUCACAGUGGCCACAGCAAUUAGUAAUUGUACAAAUGUCUUCUUACUGAACCUCCUUUUCAACGCACGAUCCUCUACAAAAUAAAACGAACAGUGUCCCGAAAAUUAGACCAAGAAUAUUUCAAUGAUCAACAGCCGAAUUCACUGACUUGCCUUAGAUCUUACAAGUAAGAUUAAUCCGGCCAAGUCUAUGAACUGAAUGUUGGAGAACCACAGAGAAAGGAUGAAUGCUUUCAUAGGGAAAAGUUUGCUGGGGCAUAGACUUUUGGUUGGCGAGAGUUGCGCCGUAGACUCAAGCAUGGGCAAAUCUAAUUUUGGCGUCAAACAUGUAAGAAAAAAGAAUAUUUUGGUUUAGAUUUUCAAUGAAAAUGUGCUGAUGAAAAAGUCCAAGUCUACGAUCUUGUUGUGCUUCAAAUAGUGAAGUCUUAAAGAGAACCUUCCUCUGUUGUACAAAGUGGAAUCACAGCCUCUAGUCUUUGCGGGGUUGUCCCUACAAAAAACUGGUCCUGAAACAGUCUUACUUUGACCUUGGACGUCGUAUGACAUCAUGAAUGCCAAAAACUAUUUACUAUUAUUAUAUAAAUUUCAAUGACUUUCUAUGUAAGAUUUCGUCACAUGCAUGAAAAUUUGGCUUGGGGUGCACAAUUGGAUUUGUCGUGUUAUUUAAUUUUCUUAUUAAACACUUUGAUAAUAUUUUAUAAAUCACUAUAAUUCUUCAUCAACGAUACUAGUAUGAUAUAUAUAUUAAAUCCAAAUUCUAUAAAUUUAAACUUUUAGUUUUUUUUAAUUCAAUAUGGUAUCAAAAUUUAAUUUGACGAGAAACCUCAUAUUUUUAUAUAAAUUCAAAUUUUAUCUGCCUUUCCACUUGUGGGUAUGAGACAGGAGGGUGUUGAGAGUAUUAUAUGUAUAUUAAACCAAAAUUCUAUAAAUUUAAUUUAAAUUUUUUAAAAAAUUGAUAAUUCAUAUAUAUUAUUUUAUAAAUUAUUUUAUCUUUACAUUCUUAUAUUAAUAUAUUGAUCAUAUUAGACUUCUCUUUUAAGUAAAAUAGUAUCAAAUUGUUAUUAGCACAAUAAGUGAUAUCAAAGUUUUCUUUUUGUACAAUACUUUUAAAUAGUUAAAAGUAGAUCAUUUAAAUUAAAUACACAUGUAUCUUAUAAUAAAUUUAUAUAACUUUUUUUGGUGGCAUAUAGGAAUCAUGCAUCCAAAAUUUUAAGAUUUAGGUCAAUUUGAGAAUUAUUUUUGAAAACAAUUUUCCAUUCUCUAGUAUAAAAAACACAAAAAACAUGUUUGAUAACUGAAAACUAUUUUUUAUUUACUGUUUUUAAGAAUAAAAAAUAGGGUGUUUUCAAAUAAUAUCUUUUAGUUGUUUUUUUUUAUUAUUUUUACUUGUUUUUUGAAAGAAGUUUUGAGAAAUAAUUAUAAAAAUAUGUAGAAUGAUUAAAAAUAAAACAUUACAUAUAAAAGUUAUUUUUAAAAUAUAUUUAAAAAUAUUAAAAACAAAUUAAAAAUACUUUAGGUUUUCAAAUAGACUUUUGUUCUAUAAAAAUUAAAAAACAAAUUUUCAAAUUAUUUUUGAAGACAAUUACCAAACAACCCUUAAUUUUUUCUUCAUACUUUCCUUUCGAAAUAAUAUUUAAUAUGACAAGAUAAACUAAAUUGGUUUCAUUAGAGAUGUGGUGGCUAGUAUAAUGACAUGUAGAAACUUGUAGAGUAACUUCUAGUAUUAAAAUAACCAAACCUUUCCACAAAUAUUUAGGGUGGUUGUGAAAAGAAGUAUGUGUAGCUACAUUAUUGGACCCAAUAGGAUGCUCCAAAAAUGUUGCCUUUCGUGAUAGGAAUGCCCCUUCAAAAGUCAUAUUACUUGUACUACCAAGACACCACCACUAAGUAUUUAUCCAUAUCUUAAUCCAUGUGUGCAUGGAGAUGAACACAAAUAUAUAUAGAAAAGAUAAAUAUUAGAAGACAAGUCUCCACAAAGAGACAAAGAUAUGGAAGGCUUGGGUCAACCAAUCCCGCUAUGCGUGGCAAAUGUUUCAGGGGACUGCGUAGGAUUGAACAGCCUUUGCUUGAGGGAAGAUCAAUCUAUGGGUGGGAGUGAAGGCAGAACUGGAGAAGUAUUGGAACAGGUGGGUCACCUCAGUUGACUAUGAAACAUGGCAUUAGUCAACGCAAAUCUUGGCUUUGGAUCUCUACAUCGGUGCUGAAUAUUGUUGAACGGAAACACGUGGCCAGCUACAUUGGUUCUAGACAACAAUGGCUGCAACAAUUAACCUGAAAUUUAAAAAUUAUUGGUCCAACUUAGAAAGAUAGAUUUGAUUUAUGUGUGGAGAUCUUGAACAGCUCAAGUCAACCCCACCAAGUUAGCAAGAAAGUAAGGGUUGGAUUCUGUUCUUCAUGUGAGGCCUAGGCUCUCGGCUCUCCUUAAGAGCUAGGUUAGGCUUGGCUUGUUGCAUACUAAUUACUAGUUAUUAUUAUUAUUAUUUUUAUAAUUAUUAAGAUUAUUGAAAUUUGUAUUUAUAUUUUUUCUUAUUAAAUCAUUUUUUGUUUAAAAAUGAUUUUUUAUAAAUGAUUAAAAACUUAUUGUUUGAUGUUUUUAGAUAUUUUGGCUGUUUCAGUUUCAUAUUCUAGUUUAACAAUUUUAAUUUUCAAAAUUUUAAAGUAAUAAAGUUAAAAAUAUAGAUAUCUUAUAUUUAAAAUAAAGAAAUUAAAAUAAUAAGUAUUCUAUAUUUAAAGCCAUUAAUAUUCCUUAUAUUUUGUAAAAUUCAUUUUAAUCGUUGAAUUUGUUGAAAAUAAAAGAAUAUGACCAAAAAUAGAAUAAAAAAUAUUCAUGUUUUAAAAUAAUAGUCGGCUACGGAUAUGAAAGUUGAACGCAACUAUGUAGUCAUCGAGGGACAUUAUAUUAAAGGCAAAUUACAAUAUAUCAAAUUAGCAUCAUGCAAUUUGGACCGUUGAAAGUGCAUACUAAAAUUUAGAUCAUUGGAUAAAAGUAUAAAUAUAUAAGACCAAGUAUGAACAAAUGAAAUUGGGAAGAAAUAAAUGAGAGUAAGACAAAAAAAUACGAAAAAAAUUUGAAUAUAAAACAAUAAGACCUAAAAGUGCCUACAUAACAUGAUGUGAUCAUUUUUUGGCAUGUACACGGGUACUAUCAUGGGACCCUAUGUUAAAAUGUGACCAUCCUUGUCAUAUCAUCCAUUCCACAAGCAUAUAGCCCCAUUCACAUUCUCUAGCAUUCCCUUUCUUCACAGAGAAAAAUGACUUCUUAUCUUCUUUUGUAACAACCAUUUUUCAUGCGACUUUAUCAAACAACAACAGAGAAGCGAUCAACUCAAAUCUCUCUCCUUGAUUCAUCUUGACAUUAACUAGAGGCCAUGAGGACUAGGCCAUCCAUGAAGCUUUUAAUGUUUAAAAAUUAGAUCAAAAUUUGGAGCGGAAAGUUAAUUGAUUUUUCAAAUAUUGGCCAAAUAGUAAUGAAAUAUUGAUGGGUUUUUACAACUCCAUAUGAUGGAAAUUAUUGCAAGAUUUUGGAGAAAAAAUUGUCAAUGUUUUACCAUUUAUUUUUUUGAAUUAACAUGGAACCCUAAUUUUUAUUUAUUUAUUUAUUUAUUUUUGGUGUUGGCCUCCUACCAUAUUCGAAAAAUUCACUAAAAGUUUAGUGGAUUUUUCUACAUUUAAACCUUGCUCUUAAGCAAAGUCAUUUCUAGAGUUGGAACUUGGUAGGUGAGGUUAGGUUUAAAGUGUAUCCAAGCUCAUCAUGAGUUUUUAGCCUCCCAAUCUACAGUCUAAUAAAACCAAAUUUCUAAACUAAUCAUAUUUUCAACCCAAACUCUUUUUAGCUUGACCUACUUAGUUUAACGCUUGGGUUGGGUAGAUUGAGCAAAUUAGGCAAAUAAUGUUGAAAAUAUCGCUUUUGACAAAAAUUUCAAUAUCCAUAUUUUAUGAAAAUAUCAAUAAAUUUUUUGAUAUAAGUGGAAAUGAUUGUUGAGAUUGGAAAAAUUGACCAAAAAUAUGAAAUUUUUGAAUGAAAAUUUGAGAAAUGAUAUCAAACUAAUGAUUGAUGUGGUUCAAAGAUACUCAAGGAUGAAGGAUUACCAUCUUGAUUUAAACAUUAUUAUUACCACUAUAUGAACUUUGCGUAACAAUGAUUGUAGAUAGCAACAUGCCAAACAUAGGUAUUUGGAUUUCUUGUCACCACAUCUAUAUGUAUAGGAAUAAUUAUAUCCCAUAAUCAUCAUAAGUUGAUUUUAUUUGAAAUUGUAGACCUUGUCCAUAACUAUAAUUACAAGGAGAAAAAAUGUUUGUCUCAUUAUAUGAGUUAUUGUGUUGACUCCCUACACUCAUAUAUUCAAAACUUUCUAAAAAGAACUCCUAGGCAUCCUUUGUUAGGUCCCGAUGUGCCUCCUCCCUAUGUAAGGCUUCCUAAUAACCCUUAUUACUAAACCUACUAUUCUAUACCAAUGGUUUUCAUCUUAUGUGCAAUAGGUGAAGUAGGCUUCAUUAGUAAAUAGGGUCAAUCGUUGUUGACUUUGGUCAUAUUAUCCAACAUCUCCUCAUCAUCACCAUCAUCUCGAUCAUCUUGAUCAUUAUCAUUAUCACCAUCAUCAUUAUAAAUAUCAACUUCUUCGUUAUCUCUUUGAGGCAUCAAAACUAUAAGUUAGUUUGUGCAACACUCAUCAAUUCAAAGCUAAUAGGAGUAGGUUGUGUUGGCAGUCCAAUUAUCAGCUUAAACAAACCAACUCCACUUUUAGUGUCACUUCUCCCAACUUUUUCAAACAUAACUUUAUCAACAUUAAUUCCAAACUCACAAGCAUGUGCAACUACUUAAAUUUACUAAAACUUUUAUAUUUCAUGUGUAACUCACAUAAUUUAAAGAAGCAAGGGAAGGACUUAGUGAUCAAACUACAGUUACAACUAGAAAUGAAAUGGUUUCAAGUAAGUUGUUAUUUGUUAACACUAUCAAAAGUACAAUGUUGAAAUCAAACGACUUUUGAUUAUCAAUAUAUCAAUGCAUAUUAUGUUAUUUCCUUUUCUAUGGUUGAAUAGUGGUUUAUGUAUGGGAGCCAAACUUGUACAUUACGGAAGCUGGCAAUAAGAAUCUCAUCACAAAUUGUAUCAUCUUCAACUUGUGAGAGGAACCAAAGCACAUUUGUCCUUAUUCAUACAAAACAACAAAAUCAUUUUGCUUAGGCAAAGCUUCAAUAAUUGGUUCUUGUUAUUACGACAUGAAGAUAAAGUUAUAAGACACAGAGGUCAAACAAAAUAAAGUGGUGAAAAUAAACUUCUUAGAUUUUCUAGACAUCUCAACAAAGCCAAGAGAAUUAUAGGACCAAUUGUCCUAAUGGGUAAGGCAUGUAUACUUGGAUGAUGAACAUAGGAAUCCCAAAAUGUAAUGACAAUAGAAAUAAGUUUGUACUAAAAUUUCAUUAAAGCAUAGGUCUCAUUACCAAAUUAACAUACAAGAAAAUAGACUUUUAGUGACAAACUGAAAUAAAAUUUAUGUUUGCUAAAUUAAAAAAAAAAAUCUAAGUUGACAAGAAAAUUAUGAUAUAUAUAUUGAUGUAAAGAACAAUUGUUAUACAUACUUAAAUGAGUAUGAAGAUGAGUUAUUAGAUGUGUUAGCCCAAGGGUUCUCCUAAUCGAGUUUUGAUGAUAACAAACCAUGGUUAAGUGACUAAUUGGUUUGAAUGGUAAAGAAUCUUAGGUAUAAAUUCGGAAAUUCAUCAAAAGAUCAAAUGGAUACAAGAUCGAGACUUUUGAAAGAAUUUUGAUAAUAGGAAACGAAUGUAAGAUGAAUGCAUGGGCGCACUUAGGUUUUUCAUAUUGUUUCAUGCAUAUUUGAAAACUCAGUUUAUCCUUUAAAAUUUCGAUUUCAUUAAAACCUGAGUUUUAUCAAAUGUACCUUAGGUAAAACGUGUCAAAAUUGACAUAUUAUUUUACUUAAAGACCUUGCCUAAGUGUUAGAAAAGAAAUGAAUUGAAAAAGAUAGGUUUUGGGGGCCAACCGGUUACCCUUGUCCUAUCGAGGUUCGGUUGAAGAGUGCCAAAAACUCUCUCUCUCAUCCAGUAGCUUCCUCUUACCGAUUGAGGUUCACCUCUUCCCGGUCGAGGUCCGGUCAACCUUUGGUUGAGGCAACGAUAACCUGCUAAAGCAUUAAAUACUCCAACGGCUAGUGAAUUGGUCGACCCCUAGCUAGACCGAUCGAGGUUGCCUUUUGCUGUUUUUGGCUCCCGAGCUUAGAAACCUAUAAAUUGAGAGCUCCACUUCAUUUAUGACUUAGACAACACUUGCAAUCAAUUGUCUACCUACCUGUUUUUGGCCUAAAAACUCUCAUUUAUUUCUUAGUGCAUUAAAUCAUCACUUGCAUAUCUUUUAGUGCACCCUUGUGAGUCAUCCUAGCUUUGUUUUGUAUUUGAGCUAUCUUUGAGCUAGGUUGAGGGAUUCAUUCUUGUAAAAACUGAGUGUUAAAGCCUUCAAGAGGUUUGAAUCUUGAAGAGAUUGUGUAAGAGCCCAUUGAAGCCGGAAUCCAAGUGUAAGAAGAUUGGAAGCUUGAUUGAAGCUUCAAGCUAGUGGAACCCUCACUCAGUUAGGAGAUUAAGGAGAGUGGAUGUAGGCAAGGAAGUGUUGAACCACUAUAAAUUUUGAGUUUGAAUUCUCUAACUCUAUCUCUUUAUUUCUUGUUUAUAAUGUGGUUGAAUUUGUUGUAUUGAAAAAGUUUUUGAAAAACCCAAUUCACCCCUUUCUUGGGUGUUUUUUUCUCCUUUAAGCAUAGCUUUUAUUUUCUCAAGAUGCAAUGAGAUGGGACUAGGAUGUCCAUGUUAGACUCAAGCUUUUCAUAACACAAGAUGGUGAUGUAGAAAAAAAGGUGGGGGAUGGGGGAAGAUAGAAUUAUAUCUCAUAACAUUUGUAUGAUUUUGAAGUUCUCCAAACAUGAGUAGUAUUGCAAUUGCUUAUAUAGAUGUUUUUGCAUGCUUAAGAUUGAAGUUGUGGUUACAAUUUUAGUAAUGUAUAUUUGAUAAAGGUUGGUAAGUCCAAAAGUAAAGCACAUUAAUUAUGUAAUAAUCAUGAAGCAUGUUGUAUGUAAUGCGGAGAGUUAUAUGAGUUGAAGAGAGAUAUGAUUAGAUUUGAGAUAGAGUCAAAGAAUGAGCUUCUUUCAAAUCCUAAGUGCUCAACUAGCAUACCAACUAACUUACUAGCUUAGAGUUGUGAGACUUAUUUUUAUUUUAUGUCAUUCAUCUCAUCUCCAUUGCUUUCUUGGGCUAAAAAUGGUCCUCCAAAAAUUAGUUUGGAAAAGCUUUUGAAAAUCACAAAAAAGUGAGAGCAACUAUCCGUAUUCUUAAGCAUGAUAAUAAGAUUAAAGUUGAUGGUAAGACCAAAGUCCAUGGUAAGAGACUUGACCUUUAGCUAUGAGAUUAGCCAUUGAAAGGUGCUUAAAAUUCAGUAAAAAAGGAAAUAAAACCAAGAUUUUUCAAUUAGAUUUGCAAAGAAAACUAAAAAAGCAAAAUAAGGCUCAAAAGAGUUUUUUUUUUUUAGGGAAAAUCACUUCGUGCAAGAUAUCAAACACUUUGUAGUUCUCAAAGUUCCAUUUAAAAAAUGGUUCAAAGCAUCUUCAAAAACAUCAAAACAAAGGGAAAAAAUUCCCAAAAAAUUAACAAAAGAUGGUCAAAGACCUCAAAUCCAAAUGAGCCCCAUAUCAUGAUUAACUCAAUGAGCUUCAAAAGGAGAAAACAACCCAACAAAUGAACAAAAUCAAAUCAAGCAAGGCUUGAAAAACAACCGAACAAUAAAUUAAUUAAGAGAACAAACAUUUCAUCAAGCAACCAAAAUAAAAAAAAAAGAAAAAAAAGAAAAAGAGAAUCCAAAGAUGAAAAACAAAUAGCCAAAUAACACAUGUAGCCUUUCAAUAUCUACAACUAAUAUAUUCAUCAUCUCAAGAAUUAGAAGAAUAUGAAAACAAACUAAAAAUAAACUUGUAAAAAUGGAAUAAAUAAAAAAGAGCUUACCAGGUGAUUUCUUCACAAGUGAAACACUUGGCUUCUAGUAAGCUUCCAAUUCUUCUCCAAGCUAAGCCUUCUUUAAAGCUUUCUCUUCUUCUCACUCUUUCUUUGAAAUUUGAUAGAGUUUCCCUUCAAAAAGGUUAGAGAGAAAUCCCCUUAAAAAUGAGCCUCAAGGCCCUUAUUUAUAGGGCAAAGAACGGUAAACAUUUUAACACAUAUCAUUCUCCACCAAAGCCCUUAUGUAUAGACUUUUGCUAUUUUCACCAUUGUUUUCUAAAGAGAGGAACCCUAACCAUCCUCUAGAGAGGGAAAGAAACCCACCAUUUUUUGUGCUAACUAUGAAAGGAGAGAUUAGGUGGAAAAUCAUUGGGUAGACAAGUUUUAUGAUGACCACUACAGUUUCAAAGUCUUUAUUAGAUCAAAAUUGAUAUGGAAACAUCCAAAGAGCAUGUAUGAAGCUUUCUAAUUUUAGAUUUAUAUUUCUUUUGGUUUUUGAAGCCAUAAUAUUUUGUUGUGUUAGAUUUAGAGAACCCUAGGAUUAGAUGCAUGCAUGGUCCAGGGCUCAGAAAUGGAUCAAUCUAGAGUUCCCAACAAGAAAGGAAAAAAAACAACAAGGCUUAAAAAAGGGGUUGAAACGAAGUAAAAAAAAGAAAAAUUUGGUCAACAAACAAGAGAAUCCGUUAAACCGGUUGUCUCAAUGUAGACCCUCCAUUUUGUCUUACUAGCACAUGUUAUUAUAUGUGUUUCUAUUCACUUCUUGUUGUCUUAUAGCCAUUUCAUGGUGGUCUAUUGUCACUCAUUUGAUUUACUAUUUUUUGAGCCACUUUUGGAGAUUUAUUGUUGAUGGAUUUUUUAUGGACCCCAAAUGCAACCUUAGUUGCGCCUUAGUUUAACUUACUUACUGUAUUUUAGGUUUAGUUCACUCAAUUCCAUUCUUAGUCUAACUCACUUAGUUAGAUUUAAGUUGCAUUUUAGGUUUAGUUCACUUAGUUGCAUUUUUAGUCUAGCUCAUUUAGUUACAUUUUAGGUUUAAUUCACUUAUUUGAGUUCUUAGUCUAGUUCACUUAGUUACAUUUUAUGUUUAGUUCACUUAGUUGCAUUUUAGGUUUAACUCACUUAGUUGCAUUUUAAGUUUAAUUCACUUAGUUGCUUUCUUAGUAUAGCUCGCUUAGUUGCAUUUUUGGUUUAAUUCACUUACUUACAUUCUUAGUCUAACUCACUUAGUUGUAUUUUAGGUUUAAUUUACUUGGUUGCAUUCUUAGUCUACUUCACUUAGUUGCAUUUUAGGUUUAGUUCACAUAGUUGCAUUCUUAGUUUGACUUAAUUGCAUUUAAAAUUUAGUUUACUUAGUUGCAUCCUUAGUCUAGUUCAUUUAAUUACUUGGUUACUUUUUAGAUUUAGUUCACUUAGUUGCAUUUUAGGAUAGGUCAUCUAGAUUCAUUUUAGUUCAUUCCAUUUAGGUGCACUUUAGGAUAGAAUUUGAUGUCACCUUGCAUGACAUGUGCAUUGAAGGUCUUUGGGGAAUCUUGGGAAGGAUGUGCGCAACCAUAAGGAGAUUUAAAGAUAAGGAAAUAUUAAGAUUUGGGGAGUCUUUGAGAUGGAUCCUCUUUGGAUAUACAUGACCAUAAGGAAAAGAUAAGGAAAUGUGAACUCUUUGGGAAAAGGAAGAUAUGUGUGGACUUGCAUUUUUCACGUGCGUUCCCACUCAAUCGACGAGACUUACUUUUAUUGGUGAAAAAUUAGUUUUGGAAAAGUCAGAGUCGCCAUUUAUUUUAUUUUAUUUUUAAAAGGGAAAAUAAAACAAGAAAGAAAACCCUAAAUAAGUGACUCCAUAGUUUUUGGAAAAACGUGUCUUUAAAAAACUCGAGUCUAGAUCUGGGGAUCAAGUUAUCUAUUAGGAAGGUACCUCUAAAAGGUAGCACCCUUCUAAGACGCUCAAUGGUCUGGCUGUUUCCUAGAUGCAGAUGUGUUUCACCAAAGCUUUUUCUCCGAUGCGGCCGAACUCGAACCCCAUUUCACGUGCUCAAAAUUUUCUUUCCUUCGUGCGGUUGCUUCCUUCUCCAGAAUGCUGGAUCUUCCCCUUCCAAGUUCUAGAAUGGUGCAGUUGCACCUUUUCUUCUCUAAGGUGCAGAUACGUCUUUUCUUCUCUAAGGUGCGUUGCAUUUUUUCUUCUCUAAGGUGAGGCUGCACCUCCAUUUCCCGUCUUUCAGCUACAAAUCGUGCUACCUCUCCUAGAAAAUCAAACUUUCAAAGCCCUCUCCACGUGCUGAAAAUCUCUUUCCAUCAUCUCAAUGAUCCUGCAAAUUGUGCCCUUCUCCUCUUUUCAAAGGCUCCGUCUCCCUUGCUCUCCAAUGGUGUAACUGCAAAUUUUUUUUUUUUUUUGGUUUUUUUAAAGGCACGACUUCACCUCUACUUCCUGUUUUCUGCCGCAAAUUGUCCUCACUCUCACUGAAAGCCAAACCUUUAUUAUUAUUUUUUUUCGCUCUCCUGUCAUUUUCUUUCUUCUUCCUAUUUUUUUUUCUCUAUCUCAUCCAGCUUCUUCACUCUCCAUUUUCCGCUCGUUGACUCCACCAACAUGGGAAGACAACUCACCCGCCCGGAGAGAGCCUCAAUCGUCCGUGUCAUUCCAGCAUGAUCGGAACUCUCUAUCUUCUCAAAACAUAGCCCACAUUCUGUCCCUAUACAUCUGCACUCCUUCCCAUUGACUUCAAAACAAUGUGUAGGUCCUUCAAAUGUCCCCAUUUUGGUUGGUUCAGAUUACCAAAUUCAUCAAGAGGUGCAUCAUAAUAUAUGAUGUCAUAAUGUAUGGACCACCAACUAUUCUACCAAAAUUGGUACCACCAUGAUACAUGUAAUAGUCUUGGAAUGUGCCGCCAGUUUUGUAAGUAUUCUCUAGAGUAUUUAUUUGAAGUAGGAAAAUUUGGCCCACUAAAGAGAAGACGAGUGAUACAAUUGUUGCUAUCCUUAACCAUUUUCUCUAUCUUCCUUGGAAACACUACACCGCUAAAGAAUUGAAAUGGAACCUUAGAAACAAUCCCAAAUAAGAAAAUAUGAAUACCUAGAUAAAAAGUAUAACACAUAAAAAAUACAUAUUAGACACAUUUAAUAAAAAAAGAAAUUAAACUAAUGCAACAUAUAAUAAUAAUCGAAGUGUCAAACUCAAACCACCAAAAAAUAAAAAAAUUCAUUUCAUCCAAUCAUAAAAUAAAAUAAAUAAACAAAAAUACAAAUAAUAGUAAUAAUGAAAUAAUAUAAAAUAAGUCAAAACUCACUUAAUCCUAAAAUCAAAAUAAAAUAAAUAAACAAAAAUACAAAUAAUAAUAAUAAUAAUGAAAUAAUAUAAAAUAAGCCAAAACUCACUUAAUCCUAAAAUCAAUAAAUAAAAUAAAUAAAUAAAGAAAAACAAGAAAAUAAAUCUAAGUGAAACUAAACCUAGAAAAGUGCCUAGGUGAGCCUACAGUGGUGCCUAAUUGGCCAAGUGUACCUAAAUGGGCGUAGGGUACAUAAGUGGGUCUAAGGUGGUGCCUAAUGGGCCAAGUGUACAUAAAUGGCCCGAUGGUGCCUAAAUGGGCCUAAGAAGGUGCCUAAUGGGCCAAAUGUACCUAAAUGGACCGAGGGUGCUUAAGUGGGCCUAAGGAGGUGCUUAAUGGGCCAAGUGUACCUAAAUGGGCUUAGGGUGACUAAAUGGGCCUAAGGUGGUGCCUAAAUGGGCCAAAUGUACUUAAAUGGGUGUAGGGUGCCUAAGUGGGCCUAAGGUGGUGCCUAAUGGGCCAAGUGUACCUAAAUGGGCCAAUGGUGCCUAAGUGGGCCUAAGGAGGUGCCUAAUGGGCCAAGUGUACCUAAAUGGGCAUAGAGUGCCUAAAUGGGCCUAAGGGGCCAAGUGUACCUAAAUGGACCUAGGGUGCUUAAGUGGGCCUAAGUCUAAAUUAGGACUGCUAAGAGUCACAAUAGAGUUAGAUAAAUCCCUCAACCAAAGUCUCUAAGGUGGCUUAGAGAAUAUAGGCUACACGAGUAGUGAUGGGCCACCAGGGUAUUGUUGUAAAAUGCUGAACAAAUACCUAAUAGGACAUGUGCUAAGAGGGCAAACUGGAGGGUCUACAAUAUGCAUGACAAAUGAGAAGAUUGAGAGGGAAAAAUAUUAUUUUGGAAUAUAAUGAUGACAUUGGUUUUUGGAUAUUUGGAGUACUCUCAUGGGAAGACAACUUUGAAAUUUUAAAAAGGAAAAAGAUUUUUGAGAUUAAGAACUCUCUUAAGGGUACGACUGUUGCCAUUGAGAUUGAUAUACAUGCAUAGGGAGCAUUGAGAAUUUGGUGAUAUACAACAUAGGAGAUUUUUUGAGAUUGAAGAGGAUUCAUAGAGAUACACGACUAUCAUAUUGAGAUAGGACAAAGAUUCAUGGAAAAAGGACAAUGUUCACAACAUGAAGGCUUUUUUGGAAAGAAGAAAAGAAUUGUCUUGAAGACAAGACACAACAUUGAGGAGUUUUUGGAAAAGAGGAGGAAUAUUUUGGAACAACAUUGAAUGGGAUUUUUUGAGGUAGACAUGAUUGCCAUUGAGAUGGGGUUCACAAAAAAGAGAUUUUUAAAGAGGAGAUGACUUUUUUUAAAGGGGGAUUUGUGGUUGCUAUAGAGAGAUAGAAGAGAUAGGACUCUCUUUGGUACAAGUUUUUGGAAUUUUUGAGGAAGAGAUGACUUUGUUUUUUUGGGACUGUUAGUUGCCAUAAAGAUUGGAAAGAAAAUUUAAAGUCUUGGAGAAGCUAAGGGCAUCACGACAUAAGGAGAAGAGGGAAGAUCAAUUUGGAUUGAGAAAUGAAGCAAAGUUUCAUAUUUUUUUAGUGGAGAAAAGAACAAGUUUCAUCUUUUUGGAGGAAAGCUAUGAUUCUCUUUUAUUCUUUUUGCAUAUCUUAAUUAUGAUAAUCUCUCUAUCUUUUAUUUUUUUUCCAUCUUACUUAGAUAUGAGAAUUAUCUUUGGUUGGUGUGGAUGCAUAGGCCACACAAAUUGUUGGUAUUUAAUAAUUGGAUGAUUGAUUGUUUAUGCUUAGGAUCUAUUUCACUCAUUGUUUUCCUUAUUUUUUUUUUUUUUUUACUUAGUUUAAGCCUAUUUGAUAUCACAUGAGAUGAGGUCUUGCAUCACAUGAUUUCUUUACUUUUGGUUCAUUUUAUUUGAUUGUUUCUUUGAGAUGUUAGAGUUUAGGUUUAGAAUUGCCUCUCACACAUUCACACACACACACACACACACACACACACACACACACCUACUCUUACCUUGAAUUUUGUUUUCUUGUUUUCAUCCUAGGAUCCUAUGUGAAUUGAUUGUUUUAGAAAAUUUUCAAGGGUUUUUGAAAUUUUUAACUAAGAAAUAGAAUAAGAGUUUGAAGACUUGGUAUGGGAAUAAUGUAAGGGGAUUUUUGAAUUGUUAUUGGAUAAGAAAUUGAGAUCCUUGGUGUGAGGGAUUAGCUAAAUAUGAAUAAUGUUCUAUUUGGUGGAGGUGUUUGAACAUGGCAUUGGAUAUGUUAAGAGAACUCAUGAUAGACACAGAUGAGAGGACAAAAAAAAAAAAAAAAAAAACUUAAGGAAAAACAACAAGAAAAUGAUAUGUAGUUCUAGAAAGACAAGUCAUAGACAAACCUUAGAAGGUUAAGGCUAAGGUAGUGUACGUUAGAAUCUCUUGAGAACAACAUCAGAGAAGGAUGUUGGUGAACACUAACUUUUAUGCCAAGAGUUAAUAGGAGGAAAAUGCAAAAAAUAAAGGAAUUUUAAAAAUGCAAAGGUUUAGCCUUCUAAAAAUACCUUACCUUCGUCCCUUGAAAAAAAAUGUGGCAUUAUUUAUUUCAGACUAACAUCAAGAAUAGGAGCACCAAACUUAACUUGCCUGGUGCUUACAAUACAUGUAAGAGACUUAGUGCAUGGACUUCUAAGGGCAACAAUAAUUGUAAAUACCAUAACACCGAGUAUUUGGCAAAGUAUCAAAGUUCUAAGAGCCUUAUUUCAACAACUUUGAAGAUACUUCCACACUAAUAGAAUGCAAUUUCUCAAAACAAGGGAUAUGGCACCAAGGCUUGUCAACUAGCUAAGAUAUUUCUAUCAAAACAAGAUCUUGUAUUCACAAUCCCAUAAUUAUUAAUUAAGAAUCAUGGGAUUGAUCUAUAAAAGCUAAAGGUUCGAUCAAAGAUAGACAAAAUUGUUAACCAAUUGAGUGUUACAAUACAUAUCACAAAGAAUUAUGCAUAAAGGUAAUCUUUACUUGCUUUAUUUUGAUUUAGAUGUAUGAAAACAUAUAUACAAUGAUUGAGAAUGCUUAUAGUAAUGUUGAUCUCAAUUGUCCUAAACUAUAGCUACCUCUUAAAAUGAAAAGAUUGUGUAUUACAUGAGACUUUUAAAAAUAAUAACAAUAAAAAAGAAAUAUGUACCUUUAGUCCUUUCCCUAAAAUAUAUAUAACAAAAAUUCAUUAAAAAUUCAAAAUAAAGAAGUUCAUAGAUAAAGUUUAUUUUUCCUAAAAGAAAUUUUGCUAUUGCUUAUUAUCUCUUAUCAAGAAUAAAUAGGUAAUAUUCAAGUGUUUCAAAAAAUAAACCUCCCAACUAUAUUUCGUGCUCAAUUGCAUGAUAAGAAUUGAAGUUUAUUACAUGGGAUUUGAUUUCGUUUAAAAGCGACAACAAAGGAAAAUUAUUAUGGGGGUGCAAUAAUCCAUUGACAUGUGGAUUGAUACUAAGGUAACACAAGUGGUGCAUGAUUCGUUCCCAAUUGGUGUCUCAGCUGAUUCAUGUCCAGCUGGUGCUCCUUGACUGAGGGAGUGAUCAACAAAAUUUAUAACCUAUUACACCAUGCAUUAGGAUAGCUUUAGCUAAUAUAGCAUAGUGACUCUAGGAUUGUUCACUGGGAAGGGUUUUCAACUCUCAAUUGAUACCAAUUCAAAGUUAAAUUGGUGCUUUUUCAUUUCAAGGUUAGCUUAAGAAAUAAAACACAAACUUUGUUUAAAUGAGGUUUUGUUUAAAGCUAACUAAAAAGAAAGUAAUGGAAAUUACUUAUGAAGAAAAACAUUCCUUGGAGGUUUAGGUUCAUUGGGGAGGUUCCUUAUGCAAAAACAGAGCUCUAGUCAUUUGGUUCAUUUCCUCGCAUUAGAGAAUUAACAUAUAGUCAAUUCUCUAACCGGUGUUGUACAGAUGUAACCUUUAAAUGGAUUUCGGCUCUAAUUCCCUCUCACUGAUGCAACUUGCAAUGGCUCGUGCCUCUCACCUAGCAUUUGCCAUUCAAGGUAAUCUUUAACUUUGGACUUCCCUUCUCAAGCUCGCAAGAGAUAACUAAUGGAUGUCUUCUUGGAGUCCAAAAGCUUACCAAGUGUUGGCAAUUCUAGAAAAUCCUACCUCCAAGUCACUUCCCAAAAGCUCGCAAGAGAUAAACAAGUGCAUCUCCAUGGACGGAGAUCACGUGCCUUACCAAGUGUUGGCUCAAGUGAAUUGAAGGUGUUUUAAGUUAACUAAAAACAUAGAAAUCAUUAAAGGAUCACACUUUCUUUUCAUUAAUGGCUGAAACCACAAAGCUAUAAUUUCUUGCACUUGGAACCUUUCCCGGCAACCCUAGCUCCAAGGAACUAAAAGUCUAGCCACUCAUUCUCUGAGGAAAAUUCCUCAGAGCUUGUUUGGCUAGUAAGAAAAAGAAUGAGAAAACAAAAAUAUAAAGGAAAAACAGAGCAAGUGCUCUAUAAAAUAUAUUUCUUGCAAAAUUGUACAAAAGGAUGCGUCUGAGAACAAGCUCCCAAAGAUAUAUGAUUGUAAAGAAAAUUACAACUAUAUAUAAGAGGUUAUUCACUCCUUUUUCUUGCUUAAAGACUAAGGAAUCCUAUGAUAGGUGGAUUACAAGGAGAGUUUGGGGAUUUAGACAUCAAAUAUCUAAAGCAAAAUAUCCCAAAAUAUCUCAAAAAUGUCGGUCGGAAAUAUCAGGAAGCUUGAGGAGAACAUCGUGGCACUGUGCAAAAUGGCUGCGAAACUCUCUGGGUAAGCGCUGUAAAAGGAUCUGGACAUGUCUGUCCGGGGAAGUUGAAACGUCCUCCUCUCCCAUCCAGCUGUGAGGUAUCUGGAUGUAACAUGUCGGCGCACGGAAUUCCGGAUGUGAAAUGUCGGCAGACAGAACUCUUCCCCAGGUGGACUGAGCUAUGCUGCGCAAGGGGGACCGUCUGCGUGUGCAAGGUGUAGGGACCCCUCUCCCGGAUGACACGGAGUGCGCAAGGCUAUCCGGAUCAACUCCAUCCGGAUUUCCCAAGAGGACACGCGGCGCGCUCCCUUAUCCGGAUUCCCUCAGGUUGGAGCACACAGCACUCGUGAACAUCACACCCGGACGAUAACAUAUCCUAUUCGGAUAUGUUGUCCGGGUCACUGACUAAAGUGAGCAAGCCUUCCUACGUCAUUCGGACAACCUGCCACAGACCAUGUUCCGCCACCAUCCUGUCCGGACGCCCUGUCCGGACAUCUUUGCCAUGGAUUCCAAAGAACUCUCCUCAAUCUCUGAUUGCUUUCGUGAUAAAAAAGCUAUCAAAACACCAAAAUUUAACACAAUUUGAUUAGAAUUGAUUGCAAGGGUCCUUAAUAUGUUAAUUGGGUUAAAAGGUGAUAACUACUACUCAAAAGUAUUUAAAAGAGUUAAUUACAGACUAUCAAAUAACACUUUUUGAGUAGUAAUCAGUGCACCACCAUAAGGUUGCAUAAGAGCCACAUAACCCCAAAUGGGUACUCCAACCACCAUCAUAGUACAAUAAAGUUGACUUCUAUUAUCAAUAUGGCGAUAUGAUUUCCCACAUGAAAAUGGAGUAACUUACAACCACCCUCUAAGGGGCACCUUUUUCCACUUUCAAGGAUGAAAAUAUCGGUGAUUAUUGAUACAUCAGUACUUCCAUUUUACGGAUAUAUCGAUGAAUAUUUUGACACAAAAUAUCAAUGAAAUUAAAAUUGAUAAAAAAUUAUAAAAAUGUAAUAAAAAACUCUUAAAAAUAAAAUUAGAAGUAUAAUAUAUAUUUUAAAGUUGUUUUGUUCAAGAAAUUGAUAUAUGUAUAAUAUAACCUAUCAUAUUUGAUAAUAAUAUUGUAUGUGCUAAGAAAAAAAUAUGAAUUUCAUAAGUAUACAUUUAUUAUUAAAUUAUAUCAAAUAUUAUUCGAUAAUAAUAUUGUGAUAUUUGAUUAUAAUAUGUCUAAUUUAAAAAUAUAUUUAAUAUUUAAAUUAUAAUCCAUUUAAUUCAAUUGUAUUAAAUGAUAUAAAAUAAACGAUGAUAUAUGUAUAAUUUUAAUACUUUAUUAAUAUAUUAAUGAUAUUAAAAACAUUAUUAAGAAAAUUAUCAUGAUAAUUUUUAUAUUUUUGGUAUUCAAAUAGAUGAAAAAUUUUCAUUUAAUCAUAAAAUAAUUAUAAUUAAUUUGUUCUUUAAAAUAUUUUUUUGAAUUUAUGUUUAUAUGAUGAAUUUGAGUUUAUGUAUAUUUGGUGCAACUUAUAUAACAAGGGACAAACUUCCCCCAAUGGUUGGCUCAACGCAUAGUAAACCCACACAGGUCGUAUUGACCCAUGUUGACCACCCCAAAAUAUUGCAAAAAAUCAAUAAAAUAUUGAAAAAUCGGCAAAAUUCACGAUAAAUUGUCAAAAUAUCGAGGUCCAUCGAUACUCUAUAUUUUAAUCACUGCCCACCAUCAAAGGUUGUAAUGACCAUAGGCGGUGAAUGGACUCAAACCCUUAGGCGGUGAAUGGACUCAAACCCUAACAAGCGACCCCAUCAUUAAAAGGAAGAUUGCUUUCCAAAGCAAGGCAGGUGAAACAAAUUCAUCCUUUUAUGUUAACCCUCUUUCCCAUCCAUGCCUAACUUGAUCGUCACAAAGGGGUUGGCCUAAUCAAUCCAUCACCUAUCUAACACUCAUUAUGGAAAUUAAUGUGUAAAGGAAUUCCAAAGAUAACCUCAAGUGGAAGAGGGAUGCAACAAUUCUAAAUUGCAUCCUCAUAUGCAAAAAAUAGGACUAAAUCAAUGUUUCUACAAGGAAGAGUCAAGCUUGACUUCAAUUUAUUGUUUUGUCUUGGUCUUUUUAAUAUUCCUAAUAAAAAGAAAUAACAUGAAAACGUCAACAAAUUUUCAAUUACUUCAAUUAAAAAAAUCAAUUAGUACAUAAAAAUAAUUUUUUUCUUCAAAAUUAAAGGCAAGAGAUGAUUUUAUAUUUUUGCCCUAAUUUUAAUUUAUUUUAAAUCAAUUUGAGUGUUGAAAAUUUAGGUAACAAAAAUUUGAUUAAAGAACUAUAUAUAUAUAUAACAUAAUUCUUCUUAAAAAAAUAAUAUUUUUUUUAUAAAAAAAUUGUUUAAAAAAUUGAGAUAUUAUUUUCUCAAAUUUAAAAAAUUUAAAAAAUAAUUUUUAAAGAUAUAAGAUAAGUUCAUACUUCUUUAAAAGAGUUGUUAUAUUUAAUAUAGAAAUUAUUAUUAUUUUCUAGUUUUUUUUUUUUUAAAAAAAAUGUCCAAACAAACAAUUAAUUAAUUUCAAAUAAUUUUGAUAAUGCCCAAGUACACUAAUGGAAUUAAUAAAAUGCUUUAUACAUAAUUAAUGGGAAUGCGCCAUCAAAGUCAUGGGAGUUUUUCCGUCCCACCAAGAUACCACCGAGUAAUACACACGUACAAAGUGAGGUUAUUACGUAAUAAUAAAUAAAAAUAUAGGUCAAUUAUUGGAAGACAAGUACUGCGUAAAUGUUGAGCUUUAGUCAACCAAGUCGUUUACGAGAUUUCCCCACCAUGACAGCAGCUGAAGACAUGGAAAAACAGGUGUAUGACUCAGUGUCCCAAGGACUGUGUCAAAGAUGGAAUACCCUAGGGUUGAGGGAGUAGGGAACAAAGUGGGUCAGCUCGAUUGACUAUACACAUUGCAUGCAUUACUAAAGUGGUAAGGUUUCUGGAUCUCUAUGUCGGCGUUGAUAAUUGAAUGGGAAAGUAUUAAUGGUUCUAGACAACAGUGGCUGCACCCAACCCCAAAUCUCAAAAACCUCAGCUGAAGCAAUUCAUUGAAUAGCUCAAAGCCGAACCAUCCAUUCUUAGCAUGAGCUGCUUCCGACUCAUUCGCAUUCAAGAUAGACACACCUUUGAUGUAAUUAGGAGAUAAGAAAUGGUUACCUCAUGAGUAGUCCGAGAAAUUUUGGAGAAAAGAUAAAAAAAAAAAAAAAUAGAGUCAGGAACGCAGAAGAAUGUAGUCAUUCUCUUUUGCCCUAGUUCUCCAGCUCUUGAAGUUUUAAGAGGUCAUCUCGAAUGGAUUUUUAAUUGCCUCAACACAGGGUGAAGUAUCCGCCAAGCAAUCAAUGAUUUUUUUCUAAAAGAUGAAGCUCAAUAUUUGGAAAAAUCAAACCAUGCAUGGAUUUGGAUAAAUUAUAAUGGGAUUUCCUAUUUUAAUGCUUUAGAUUUCUUCUUAAAAAUCUGAUUUUCUUUUAAUUAGGCAUUGAUUCAUUCCUAUCUUACUCCUAAAAUUAGACACACAUGUGUUAGGUGAUCUGAUAUCCGUUAAAACUUUGGGGUGCAUGCAUCUAAUUAAGAUUCUUGGAAUAACUGAAGUGAUUAAAAAUAAAAUUUUUGCCUCAUAGGGUGGUUUAAAAAUCAUAUAUGAGGUUUGAAUGUUCUCAAGCCCAAAUUCUUUUUCAUAGAAGAUGUCUUGAAACCUCACAAUCUUCCACCAUUAUAGCUCCUUCUUUGAUCCAUGAUACUUGUGUAGAAUGACUACUUACUUCUUAAGGGAGAGAGAUGGAGGCUAGGUUUCCAAAAGAUCAAUUGUUUGAAAGAUUAAAGUCUAACCCUAAAACCCAUGAGGUUUAUAUAGAUUCUCCUAUGGGCUUAAGUGACUUUGGCCCAACAUGGAAUUGGAUCACUUAAUUUAGCCCAAUGUGGGUUUGGGUCACUUAAUUUAGCCCAACGUAGGUCAAUUGAUUUUGCCCAUGAUGUCUUAAUUAAUUAAUUAACUCAAAUGAGCUCCAAUUAAUUAAUUAGCCUACACAAAAAAAAAAAUCAUCAUAAAAUCUUGUGCAAUGUUAUGCUAUUACCAAAAUGGAUUUAUGCACAUAAAUGAUUAAUUCUCCAUAAAACCUUAAAAUAAAUAAUCAUAAGUUUUUACACAACCUUACGCUUUUAACAAACCACACUUAUGCAAAAAUGAUUAAAUCUCUAAUUUCCCUCAAACCUUUGUGCCAACAAAGACUUUGAACUUGAGUGAGGACUACUAGGACCCAUAGGAAAUACUCACUUUCUUAUAAUCUAAUUUUGACAUUGAUUCAACACUCCACUAAAGAGAGUCAACUCCAUUUUAAUAUCUAAUUUCAUUACAUUAAGAUAAGAAUUAAUUAAAUCCGGUUGAAUAAUUUUCUCCAAUUUGUGACUUCCUAACAUACAAACCCCUUAUAAAUUGAUGCUCUUGAUCUAACAAGAUAACUGCUAUCAACCUCUUAAGAUUACCACAAUACUUGAGUUUUAGAUCUUCCUAUUAUGUAAUCAAAUGAUAUUCUCUAGCUCACUACGAAAAAAAUGCCUUUUAUGUUUAUUUUUGAGAAAUACUUAGAAUCACCAUUAAAAAAAAAUAAAGGAGAAAACAAAGUAAUAAAAUUAAAACCCUAAGUAACUCCAACAAUGGAAAACAAGGCAAUGGCUACAAAACCUAGAUAUCUCCAUUCCUAUCCUUGGACCAUUAGGGUACAUGUAAACUAUCCUAGGAGCUCUAUAGAUCUAACAAGUAGAAACGCAAUAUACAAUAAAACUUAGAUCUUGAGAAAAGUGUGUUUUCCCUAUGAUUUGGAUGUUUCCAAUUCAAAUCUUGUCAAUGAAGAGUCAAUAUGGAUCUUGCAAACUAGUAAAUCUUGCACCCAAUAGCUCCUUUUUGGAUCCUGACACAAGAGAAGGUUGUUAGCAUCUUAGAUAUAAGCAAUAACAUCAAUACCAAUUUUUUUUAAAAAUUGAUCUUUAGGGUUAAAAUACUAACCUUUAGGUUUGAAUGUUCCCAAAUUUUAAAUUCCAAGUAUUGAAGAUAACUUUGAAGUUGUUGGAAGUAUUAUAAACCCACGAUCUUUCGUCCGAUGACUCAACCUUGUUUUUGGCACACUUCCUAUGGGGAGGAAAAAAUGGUGGAGGUUAUGACUCUCUUUCUCUUUGGAUGGUGGAAAACAAAAAGAGAUGGAAACCCUUGCCCCUAGGGGGUAUUUAUAAGGUUCAUAUAUAAUUAGGUUUAAGUGACUUAAACCCACAUGGACUUGGGUUACUUAAUUUAACCCAAAUUGAGUCAUAAUUGAUUAAUUAACCUAAUAAGAUCUACUAAUUAAUCAAUUAACAUAAUUUAGAUACUUGGUUCACUUACCCUUGUGCAAUCUUAUGUAAUUACCAUAACACCUUUGUGCACAAAAGUAAACCUAGAACUAAUUUGACCAUUCUAACCCAUGCUAAUAAGAUAUAUGAACCCAAAGCAAUGACCACUAGGACUUAUAAGAGUACUGGCUCCCUUAUAAUCCAAUUAUGAAGUUGAUUUAACAUCUCACUAUAGAGAAUCAGCCAAGCUCUUGUAACCUAUAUAAAUAACAAUGAGACACUAUGUGCUUAGGUCCAUGACUUGCUAUCCAUUGCGUUCAGUCUCCUUAUGAACUAGUGACCAUAGUCUAACAAGGUGAAAACUAGCUAUUAGCCUUUCAAGACUACCUCUACUAUUCUUGAGUUACAGAUCCCCCUAUUAUGUGUUCAACUGACAUGUCUUAACUCUUAAAGAGUCAAUGUCAAAUUCCACUUAAGGAACUACUAUAACCAUAAUUUUCAUGAACACAACUCCUUAGAAUCACCUAGGGGGACACUUUGUCUUAAUCACAUGAGAUAUCAUGGUGCCUCUAUUGAGAACACCUAUUACUAUAGACUUCUAUCAACAGUGACCUAACUAAUCCAUAGGGAAUAUAUGAUCAGUUUACAAUUUCACUCAUAGCUCAAAACUACUAAUAACUUUAACACAAGUUCAAUAUUCUCUUAAGGUUGAGAGACAACAUAAUGAAGCAUCUUGGUGAGGUCAUGACUACUUGAUAGCCUUAAGUCAUGACUUGUCUAAUAUGUAACAUUACACACUAGUGCACUCAUUAUAGGAAACUCAUCCCGAUUGCCAAGACCACUCAUUUCUCUAAUUAGGAGGUGAUGCACUACAACCUCUAAUGGGUUGCUUAGACCCACGAAUCGACUGUGAAUAAGUCAUCUAUUUGUAAGGAACCCAUGACUUGAAUCUUCUGUGCAACUUGUAAUGCAGCCAAGUCAUAUACAAUGAAAAAGAUACAGACAAGAAAACUUAUAUAGUGUAAUGUAUAGAAUAAGGAUAGAUAAAAGUGAAACUAGAAUAUCAUUAAAUAAAUAAUGAAUUCUAAAUUUGUUACAUCAUGUCAUACUUUUAAGGGCUCUAUCAUAAUAAAAGUGAAAUCCUCUUUAAAGAGGUAGAGGUUAGGGCUUUUCUCUCUAGAAAUGUAAAUGACAAGAAUGUUGAAGCCUUAACCCCUUAGGAGGUUUAUAUAGGUUUUUUGCUAGCUUAGGUAACUUAAUCCAACCCACUUGAAUCUUAAUUAAUUAAUUAUCCCUAUUGGGAUCCAAUGAAUUAAUUAGUCUGGUUCACAAAGACCAUGCAUAAGCUCUUAUGUAGCCCUAUGUAUUUACCAAAAUACUUUUAUGCACUCAUGAAUUUAGAACCCAAAAAUCCCUCAAUAACUAUGCUAUUAUGGAUAUGAGCUCAAGUACAAACCAUUAGGACCAAUUGGAAAAUAUAGGCUCCUUCAUACUACAAUUCUAAAGAGCAUGCAACAUCUCACUACUGUAGAGAGUUAAUUAUACUCCAAUAUCUUAUGAUAUUAUAAUGAGAUACUAACCUCGAGUUUAUGACCCAUUAUUCACUGUAUACAGACUUCUUAUGAAUUGAUGUUUAUAAUCUAGCGAAGUGAUGAUAUUAACCUUUUAAUAUUACAUCUAUAAUCGUUACAAACAUUGGUCUCUCUUACAGAUUUAUUUCAGGCUCUGUUGUUCCCUGCUCACCUAGGGUAGGUGGCAGUUGAGCCAAUGGUUCUUUUAGCAUAUCUUCCUCUUCACCUGGUGUUGAAGGCAUUUGGGGCACUUGAGGCAUAUCCUCUUCUUCAGCCCUUUCUUCUACAGCUAGGAGUAAUCCACCCCUUCUCAAUUCAAUUUCAAUUUUCUUCAUCUCAAUUUUCAUUUUAAUCAAAUUCUUUUCAUAGUCUUUCGGUCCAUGUGUUGCUCUUUUAUUGUUACUUCCUCUUCAUCCUCAGCAAAUGGGUGCCUCAUGGCCAUCUGAUAGGUUGUGAGAAAUCUGGGUAUCUUAAGUUUUGCUUUCUUAGCACUCUCUAGCCUCUUCAACUGAUUCAACUCGUAUGAAUGGAUGAAGUUUUUCUCAAUCAGUGUUAGCAGGUCGGCAUAUUCAUCUGUAUAAGUUGCAUACAGGCCCCCAACUUAAAAUGCUUCCUCUCUUGUUCAUGGCCAGUGGGGUUAAUAUUGUGGCAGAUGACAUGGUCAACUAGCUUCUUCUGAUAGGGGGCCCACUUUCAUUUGGUGUAACUUUUCUGGGUCUUCCAGCAGGAAUAUUCAUUUAAGAUCUCUUCCACUGAGUGCUUCUCAGGGGCUUUAAGACCUAAGUCAACAAAGCACUCAGUGGCUUUAAUACCUAAGUCAACAAGGUGUUGGCCUUGCAGCUCACUCAGAGCUGCAAUCUCUGCUCUGGGCAUCUUGUACCUAAUGCCAUCAACUCGGAAGAUAACGAGUCUGUCAGCAUGGUCCAAAUUCUCUACCUUUAAGCUCUGAUAGAUUAACCUCACUAGCCAUGGGUAGUGUUACUUGGGCAGUCCACUUGUCAUCAUGCCCAUAUUGUAUUUAAACGGGAUCUCUGCAGACGACAUCGCCUCUUCCAUUUCUGCUAGUUGCAGAUCUUGAUAGGUUUUUUGGGAUUAGAUAUCUCUCAUUUGAUAAUCUUUGUAGGGUACUUCUCUGGCUGGAAUAGUUUCUUAAGCCAGAGCUGGUUGUUGGGUAGCCAUCUAAUCUGGAAUCUCCUCAGCAGGGCUGAACAGGAGCUGGAGCUUCAGGUUGGAUUUCUGGUUGUUAGGAUUUUUACCUUCCUGCCAUGAACACUCAAAAACUGAUCAAUGGAGUUGUUAGAGUUCAUAUAUUCAAUGUGUUGCAACUUGUUAAUUUAUUUUUGUUCUUUUUCAAAUAAUUGCUUUCCUUCAAAAUAUAUAUAUAUGUAUAAAGUAGGUUGUGAGGUUUAAUUUAAGUGACAAAGAGAUUGAUCUAAGUGAAAUUUUCUAUAUAUUUUAGAAAAUUUUUAAAAAUUAAAAAUUAAAAUUAUAUUGAAAAUAAAUUUAAAUAAAUUCUAACACCCAGUUUGUGGUUGAAAAUAGACACUAUUUCAAUAAUUAUAAAAUUGAUAAAAACCCAAUGUAAUUGCUUAUACGAGUAUCAAUUUUAUUUUUUAUAUAAGUUAAUUAUACUUCUAUAUUUUGAUGUGUAAAAUAAACUUCUUUUUUGGUACACUUGAUUAAUGGUUACUAUUAUUAAGCAAUUACAAUAAAAGUAGAUAAUUUUUAUAGAGAAAUAGGUAUUGAGCUGUUUGUAAAGUAUGUGUAACAUAAUAUUAAGUAUAGAUGACAAUAGGGUAGGUUUUUUAAAGUAUCACCCCACCAUGCCCCUAAUGAGUUAGGUUUAAAAUUUAAAUAAACGGAUUAAGGGUAGAUUUGAGAUUUUUUUUAAAAACCCGGGAUUGGUUCGAGGUAGAUUCAAGUAUUGACUUAUCCCCACCCCACCUCGAUUAUAUAUAAAAUUAAUUUAAUUUAAUUUUUAUAUUUAUAUAUUUAAUAUAAUAAUAAUAGAAAACAUUUUUUAAUAAAAUAAGUUAUAAAAAAAUUAUAAUAUUUUUAAUUAUUUAUAAAAUAUAUUUAUUUUAAUGUAGUUAAAAAUAUUUUAAAUAAUUUAAAAGAAAAACUAAAAACUUUUAAAACAAAAGUUGAAUGGGUUGAGGCAAGACGAGUAUGAGAAAUUUGCAUACCUGCUCUGCCCAUUUAAUUUUUUAAAUGAGACAAAAAUGAUAAUUAUUUUGAAUAAAUGGGAUAAGAUUAGGAUGAAGGUGAUUCGUCUUGAACCUGCUCUAUUAUUAUCUUUAAUCUUAAUUUGAAAACUUCUAUGGGAUGUAAGCUUCAAUUUGAUGUUGCUUGACCAUCAACAUCGACCAACUUAUUUAAGUUGUUAGCCUACAUCAAUUGAAUAUUGCCAUACAUUAAAAGUAACGAUACUUGGAAAAACGUCAUUAUACUGCUAGAUUUUCAUUUUUAUAAUGCAAUCUCAAUUUAACCUUAAUCAUAAAUAAUAAAAUCCAUAUGGAUUUUUUUCCAUGAGCGUUUAUAUAAAAAUUUAGACCACAUGCGCGGAGUUUUCAAUGCAGCAAUAUAGUUUCACUGGUGAAUGCUUUAUAAGGGUUUACCCAUAAAACCUAAAACCUAAAAAAAAAUAAAAAUUCCUCAAAGUGUUUCGUUGAGGGAAUGAAGCGGCUACCAAAGUAAAAAUGAAGAAAAAGAAGAAGAAGAUCGUCAUGAAGGUGGCUAUCAUUUUUCUUAUGUUGUUGAGUCAAUGAUUUAGCACCGAAAAUACUCCUAGCCAGGUAUGCGCAUAAAAAUUUUCAGUCACAAUGUUUGCUUUUACGGUUUGAGAUGUAGAAAGACAAGUUUUUAAGAUGGCUACCACUUAUUUGACAUCAUCCCAAAAGGAAAUUCUGGAUUUUACCCCUUCCUAGCAAAGAUUUGGUAUGGGUAGAUAUUAAAUCUCAUCCUUGAUACAAAAAUAAAUAGGAAUCCUAUCUUUUCCAUUUCAUGGUUCAUUGUUUCAAUAAAUUGCAAACAAAUUCAAAUCAAAAACAUUAAAAACAUAAAUUUAGAAAGAUUGGGCAUCUUAUUUACGCAUGAUGAAUGGAGAGACAAAGAUCAAUGAUGGGAAUUGGGUAGAGUGGUGAAAAAGAGUUUCAAUAUGUAAAAGCAUAUCUCAAUAGACGAUGAGAUAAUUUUUUUUAGUUUAUUAUUCUUAACCUUUUCAUUUGGUGAAAUGAAUUUGACAUGAGAAAUAAUUAAAGAUGAUAAGACAAUGGUGAAUUGGUGAAAUGAACUUUACAUGUCAUAUGCCAUAUGUGCCAAAUUUAGAAUAGCUUGAGUACGGACUAUUAGUAAAUUUGCUUCCUAUUCUAAGUUCUCCCAUAUGGAGGCUGGUAAUCCACAAGUGUGGGACUUAAUUUUGCCUAUGGAAGACUUAGUUUUGAAUUUAUGAGAUGACAAUCAACAAGUGUGAUACUCUUGUGUCCUUUGCCUUGAAUCACACCAUAGGGCACCCAUGGACACCCUUUGUGGCUAUUGUUUACCUUUUCUUGAGUCUUUUAUUACUUUCGUCCAUGUACAUCCCUAAAAAUUGAUAAAUUUGGUGAAUUCCAAAAUUGAUUAAAUUUUGAUUGAAAUAUUUAGUGUUGCUCUCCAUAUUUAAACUCUUAAGGUCAAAUCUUUAACUUCAAGAUUAUAGGUUAGUUUUUUUAUUACUUGGAACCUAGGUCAUGGCAAGAACCACAUUGAUUGUCAAACUAGUUGACUUUAAGAAAGUCUUGCAAGCUUUGGAGGGGGGAUAAGCUGAUUUAGUGAGGUUGGAGAAGAACAAGUCGUUAAUGGUCAUUGCACAUAUUGUGGGAUUAUGUGUCUUGGAUUGAGAAAAGAAGAUGUGUAGUUCUGUAUUGUCAUUGUGAAGAGGUGAAUUGAAUCAAACAUUAGAAUUUUGUUUUAUUCUUUUUCUCUAAUUUUCUAUUUCUUAGCUAAGAGAUUCUAAGUAAAGAAAAGAAAAAUAUGCAAUUGAUAUGAAGAUUUGCAUGAGAAAAACAAAGUUAUCCUCUCAUUAACAAUACUAUUUUGAAUAUUUGGAUACAUAACAAGAAUUGAAUAAACAUAAAGUUACAAGUAUUGAGAUGACAAUCAAAAUGUGUGAAACUCUCAUGUCCUUUGCCUUGAAUCACACCAUAGGACACUCAUGGACACCCUUUGUGGCUAUUGUUUACCUUUUCUUAGGUUUUUCAUUGCUUUUAUUCAUGUACAUUCCUAAAAAGUGACAAAUUUGGUGAAUUCUAAAAUUGAUUAAAUUUUGAUUGAAAUAUUGAGUGCUAGUCUCAAGAUUUAAACUCUUAAGAUCAAAUCUUUUAACUUCAAGAUUGUAGAUCAAUUGGGCUUUUUAUUAUUUGAAACCUAGGUCAUGACAAAAGCCACGUUGAUUGUCAAGCUAGUUGACUUUAAGAAAGUCUUGCAAGCUUUAGAGGGAGGGUAAGUUGAUUUAGUGCAAUUAGAGAAGAACAAGUCAUAAGUAAUCAUUGAGCAUACUAUGGGAUUAUGUCUCAUGUAUUGAGAAAGGAAGAUGUAUAGUUCUACAUCGCCAUUUGUGAAGAAGUGAAUUAAAUCAAAUAUUAAAAUUUUAUGUUAUUCUUUUCCUCUAAUUUUCUAUUUCAUAGCUAAAAGAAUAUUCUAUGUAAAGAAAAGAAAAGAAAAACAAGCAAUUCAUAUGAAGAUUUGUAUGAUAUCAUGAAGUUAUCCUCUCAGUAAAAACACUAUUUUGAAUAUUUGAAUAUAUAACAAGUAUUGAAUAAACAUAAAUUUACUAUUUUUGGCUAUUAAUAUUUUCAUUAAAUCCAAAUUGUGCAUAUUUUCUAUAGCUAAAACUUAAAACCAUAUUUUAUAAUUCAUAUGAGAAAGGACUAGAGGAGUGCUUCUGAAUCUUUGUCCUAGAUUCUUUAGAGUUAGGUGAUUUUUGGCCAUAGGUUUAUACUAAAGUUCAACCUUAUAACUACUCAUGAUUUACCUUGAUUUCAUCAUUUUAGUUCUUUUUGAUUCACCUUCUUUUAGAGAUUUUGUUGAUGUAAUUGUAGGAUAUUUUCCUUGUGACAUGAUAAUAGGUAAUUUUCCUUCUUUCCUUCCAUAGUUCUUGCUCUUAUAAAUAUAUGCACAAAGCAAACGUCAAUAUAGGAAAAUUGUUUCCAAGAUAAUUUUUUUCCUUAAGCUUUUAUCUUUGAUUAUGACUUCGUUACAGACAACCUCAUCUUCUAUUAUGACUUAAGUUUUUUCUAUUAAGUAAUAUCACUAAUUAUACUUCAACCAGAUUAAAUGAAACUAAUUAUCUCUAAUGAUGGUGAAGUGGGUUUGUUCCUAUUCUUGUAGACAAUGAUAUCUAUGGAUAUGUCAAUUUACAUUGCUUUAUUUCUUUUUCAUGUAACAGUUGUAUCUAACUUGAUGUUAUUCUUACAGUGAUGUCCUCUAGAGGUGGUAGGACUUUUGUGAAUCAAGCUCUAAUUGAUGGGAAUGUUGGUUUCUUGAGAAAUCAAUUUCUAUCAGCCAACUCAUGGAGGAGUGAAAGUCUGAGUCGAGGGUAGAGUGCCCAGGACCAGGAUAUCUGAAGAAUUAAGAUAAGAGAGGGGCACUAAGGAAAGAACUGCCAUGGAAUUGACUUCCAUGGAUACAAUCCAAAAGGGAAGAAUUAGCAAGUCACAGAUAUGGAUGUUGGUAGAGGUAAUAAGACAAUUGAAUAAAUUGUUGUAACUGAACACCUGAGAAUGAAAGUUGACCGAAAACAAGGAUGCAACAACAAAAAGAGAGCAAGAACGAAAGUUGACUAAAAACAAGGAUGCAACAAUAAAAAGAGAGCAGAAUGUGAUAAAUAAAGAAAAUACCAGUUACAAAAGGAAAACUUGAACACUCUCCUUCCAAAGGUAAAAGUUCCUAUAGAAGGCAAAUCACUUGUUUUUAGCAUAUCAAAGCUCUAAUGGAAGACAAUUUGUUUGUCUAUAGAGGAUAUCAAAAUUAUAGUUUCAACUACAUUAUGGAAGAAGGAACAUAUGUAUAGUAUGAGAUAUACAAUUAAAAAUGCAUUCAAUGUUGUAUCAUGAAAGUUUCUGCAGAGAUCAAUAGAGUUUUAACUUCCAAAGCAAGAUUCACGAAGUGGAUUUUAUUACAAAGAGAAGCAAAGAAAAUCUCGUAAGAAAAAUUACAAACUGGCAUUCUCUAAACUUUAAAAUUAUCUCAGUCUAAUUUCUCUAAUUCUCCAUCUAAUAUCUAUCUCUCUAUAUCUCCUAAAUAACUAGAUAGCGAGCUAUUUAUAGGCACUUUAUCAGUUUCUAGCUCAAUUAUAGCUUGUCACGUACACAAUAUAAUAAAAUCUAGUAAGUAAAUCUUCGCAUACUUCCUCAAUAAAUGUUUUCUUUCAUGGCCUUAUUAUGAUUAUUUGCUUUGCAAGGAAUAGCUUCAACCCAUUUCAACACAUAAUCCACUACCAUAAGAAUAUAGUGAAAACUAGAGGAAGGUGGAAAAGAUCCCAUAAAAUCAACACUUCAACAGUAAAAAACUUCCACCACACAAAUGUUGUGUAGUGGCAUUGAUUAUCUCUUACUUCACUUUUUCCUAGGUGUUGGCAUUUUUCACAUCUCUUGUACGUUACUCGCAAGUAUUCUUCAUAAGAGUGUUCUAGUAGAAACCUGACUAUAGUACCUAGGUGUUAGUUUUCUUGGAAGCUAAAUGUUAUCUACACACAUCAUCAUGACACAUUUUCAACAUGCUUUCUCUUUCUUCUUCUGGAAUGCAUCUUCUUAUAAUCUGAUCAUGACAAUACUUAAAUAACAAAUGUUCUUCCCACUUGUUAUUCUUGGACAAAAGGAAUCUUCUAUCUUCAGCGGUCUAAUUAGUAGGAAGUUGACCAAUUACUAGGUAAUUGACUAUGUCAGCAUACUAAGAUAUUUUCCUUUUGAUGGAGAAAGCUUCAUCAGGAAAGUUUUCAUUAGAUUCUUCUCCUUUAAACUUAGUCACAAUUCUAGAUAAGUGGUCAGCUACCAUAUUUUCUACUCCUUUCUUUUCUUUGAUUUCCAAUUAAAAUUCUUGUAAGACUAGUAUCCAACAAAUUAAUCUGUCUUUCGCUUCCUUUUAUAUAUUAAAAGAUACUUCAAAGCAGAGUGGUCUGUAAAUAUCAUAAUUUUGGUUCCAACAAGGUAAGUUCUGAAUUUGUCUAGUGCAUACGCUACUACUAACAACUCAUUUUUCUAUGAUCAUAUAGUUUUUUUGUGCAUUGUUUAGCAUCUUGCUGGCAUAGUGGAUGACAUUGCUUAUUCUCUCGACAACUGUGAGUACAUAGCCACUGGUGUUGCAAAUAAGUUCAAAUGGCAAAUUCCAAUUGGGGAGUUCUUACCACUAGUGCAGAUACAAGUUUCUCCUUGUAACUUUUCAAAUACAAGCUAGCAUCUCUUUGUCUAUAGAAAUUCAGUGUCUUUCAAUAGUAAAUUGCACAAUGGUUGAACGAUUUUUGAGAAAUAUUAGAUAAAUCACCUGUAGAACCUUGCAUGCAUGGCUUAAGAAUUAGUGUACUUUUCUAACUAUAGUAGGACUUAGCAGUUUAGAGAUCAAUUUAACUUUAGCUUCGUCAGCCUUUAUACCUCUCUCUAGUAUUACAUGGCCUAGGACUAUCCCUUGCUUGACCAUGAAGUGACACUUUUCCUAGUUCAGCACAAAACCUUUCUCAAUACAUUUCUUCAGUACUUUUUACAUGUUUUCCAAUCAAGCUAUAAAUAAGGGUCCAUAAACUAUGAUAUCAUCCAUAAAUACUUCCAUCUCCUUUUAUAAGAAUAUUGAAAAAAUGGUCACCAUGCAUCCUUGAAAUGUCUCAAGAGUAUUGCAUAAUCCAAAUGACAUUCAUCUAUAAAGCAUACCUGUCAAAUGGAUUAGUAAAUGUUGUCAUCUCUUAGUCUUCUGAUGCAAUUGGUAUUGAAAAUACCCUGAAUACUCAUCCAAGAAAUAAUAAUAGGAUCGGAGUAGCCUACAACUUUCUCCAAGGUUUGGUCCAAAACAGCAACAGAAAAUGAUCCUUCCUUGUUACUGCAUUUAGCUUGCCGUAAUCAAUACACACCCACCAACUUGUAGUAAGUCUAGUAGGUACCUCCUCUCCUCUACCAUUCUUGAUACCCUUAUGCCGCUCUUUCUAGGAACCACUUCCCAAGUAUUGUCAAAGAUGGAGUAAAUGAUUCCAACAUCCAACAGUUUAAUUACUUUUGCUCUUAUUAGAUCUUGCAUUGGGGGGUUAAGCCAUUACUAUAGUUGGAGAAUGGGUUUUUUAUCCUCCUCCAAGAAUAGUGAUGGGUGCAGAGAUUGGGGUUGAUUCUUUUUUAAGUCCUCAAGAAAUCCUCUUAUCACAUUUUUGAAUUGUUUUAGUACUUGAAUGAGCUUUUGCUUUUUAGUUAGAUCAAGAGAUGUGACUAUAAUAACUUAAUAAUCCUCUCCUUCUCCAAGGUAGAUAAACUUGAGUCCUUCAAGUAUUGGUCUUUUCUUUUUCUUUCUUUUUCAUUUUCAACUUUUUCUACUGUACGUGAAUAUUUCUUCUUCCUAUUUCCACAGUUUUAUUACUUUAUCUUUUGUUUGGUAUGCAAUGGAUAUAUCAUCCAACCCUUUGUAGUUUGUGAUCAACUGAUAUUCUAUCAAGUUGUCCACAGGUUCUUGAAUUAACGUUUCCAUCAAGCAUAUUUUUGUUGGCUCUUCUACUUCUAUCUACAACACAGGGCUUUUUGUUAGCAGGAACACAUUGGUUUCCAAGGUCAUGACUCCAAAGGUUAGCUUCAUUAUCCCAUAUCUGUAAUUAAUCAAGGCAUUAUCAAUAGCCAAAAACAGUUUACCCAGAAUUACUGGUAUUGAAUUUGAAUUCCUCUUUGGCUACUCAAUAUCAAGUACUAUAAAAUUAGCAUGGUGUUAUAACCUAUCCACCUAAAUUAGGGUGUCUUCUACCACUCCCUUCAGUAUUUUUACUAUUGUGUCAACCAAAUAUAAUGUGGUUACCAAGCUUUUGAUAUGGUGAAAAUGGAAUCAAAUUGACAUUUGCUCCCUAGUCAAGCAAUGAUCUUUUAAUUAUUACUUCUACUAUGGAUAUUGUUAUAGUAAGAUAGCCAGAAUCCUUAAAUUUGAUUGGGGUUUUGCAUUGAAUAAUUGCACUAACCUACCCUGUUAAGAACACUUUCUUGUCAAUAACCAUUUCUCUUUUCACUAUGCAUAGGGCUUUUUUAGGAAUUUUACAUAGAUUAGUACUUGACAUACCAUAUCUAGAAGAGGUAUGCUGAGUUUAACUUGGUAGAGUACAUCAAACAUGCACUUUAGUAUAUUGGUCAUCUUCAUUUCUUAGAGCUUGAGGAAAUAGGUUCCUCCUUAGACCUUGGGUGAUCCAAAAGACAUGUGAUUAGGAAGACUAUGACGAUAAUAAUUCAUUUAAUGGAAUUUGACAUAUACUCUUUAGAGCUAUAAUAUGUCAAUUGAUCACAUAACAGAUACAUUAAUAACUAAAGGAUUGAAGAAAUAAUUUUGAUAAGUUGAUAGCAUUACUUUAUUGGAUUAUAAACACUAGGUCAUGGGGGGUUCACAUGCAGUGGAUAGUAAGUCAUGAACUUAAGCUUCGCCCCAUUGUAAUUUCAUAAGAUAUUGGAGUACAGUUGAUUCUCUAUAGUAAAGUGUUGAAUUAACUUCAAAAUUGAAUCAUAAGGGAGUUGGUAUUUUUCUAUGAGUUUGAGUGGUCCCCAAUCAAGCUCUUAAUUUAUGGUGGCAUGUUUUAUUUAAGGGAUUUGGUUUUUGGUUCGCAAGUGUGCAUAAUGGCAUUUUGGUAAAAGCGCAAGAUUGCAUUAGAUCUCAUGGAUUAUAUUUUUAAAGUAGGCUAAUUAAUAUUAAAGUCCAAUAGAGCUAAUCAAUUAAUUGAGACCUAGGUGGGUUAGAUUAAGUGACCUAAGCCCAAUUUGGGUUCAAGUCACUUAAGCUAAUAAGGGGCCUAUAUAAACCUCCAACCCACAAAAAGCCCUAUAUAAACCUUUAUAAGGGUUUAAGGUUUAGAUUUUUGCCACUUUUUCUCCAUAAGAGUUUUCCGAAGAGAAGUCUUGGCCACCCUCAAGUUCUCUUUCAUGCUUAGAUUCGCGUAAGGAGAGGUUGGGUGGAAGAACACCAUGUAGACAAGUUCUACUCAAUAUCUUCAUUGGCUUGGUUUUUAUGUCAUUUUUUAUAAUUUUUCUCAACAUUUUCAUAAAUUUUGAUUAAUUUUUCGUAUGAUCGAUAUUUUAUGUUAGGAUAUCCAUCGAUAUUUUUCAAUAUAUUUCAAUAUAUACAUCAAAUUGAGUUAUCAAUAUAUUCAUAAAAACCGAUAUUUGUACCUUAUAAGUGCCUUAAAGUUGAAACCAUGGGGCAAUUUGUGUCCCAAAAGGACACUUCUCGAGCGAUAUGACGGGUCCUCUAAUACUUGUUCUAUUCUAAAUCCACCACUAAGGCUAUCAUUUACACUACAGAUUUUUUUUUUUUUUUUCUCUUUUAAUUAAUUUCUUUUAAGCCCUUGAUUUUCCUGCCUUGGCCAUGCACCUUCAAUCCAAAGAACUGACUGAGACACACUGAAAAGAUGCAUGUUAAACCUCAUUACUAGGACAUUACAAUGAAUUUGACCAAAAACAUAGAAUAAUCACUUAACCAGCUAGGUUCUAAAUAACAUCCACAAACCUGUUACGGAAUGCAAAUUGGAGUGAAUUUUAACAAAGAAGCAUAAGCGAAAGAACACCAUAUGGGUCUUGCAGACUAGAAUAAUUGAACUUUAAUUUUACUUCCAAGUGAGAUACAACUCGAUCCUUGUUUAGUUGUCUUGAAAUUAAGCUGAUGAAUAGGAAAAUAGCAUAAUUCAACACAUCAUAUGUAGGAUGUGUCUUACCCAGAAAAAAGGAAAAAGGAAAAAAUCUUUGAGUUUGUUAAUGUAGGACAUGAAUUCCCAAGUUGCAUAUUGGUCUCCAUGGCUCAAUUUGAUUGUCCAAAUUUCAAAUGACUAUGGCAUCCAACUCAGCAAGAUUUGUUUUUGUGAUACUUGUCGUUUUCUUCAUGUAACGUUUCUCUUGGUUUCUAACAAAGCCAUCAUCAAUUAGUGGCUAAACCAGUAAGGAAUGGACCCACUUGGCUUUGGACAGCCUACAUGGCGGUGGAACCUAUCUUUUUCAGGCUUAUGUCCAAUUUGAGCCCAAAUACUAACAACUUCAAAGGAAGCUAAUGAUCGGGUACCAAAAAAAACAUUAUGUUCAUAUACUAAGAGUGUGUUUGACAGUAAUUAUAAAAAUGGUUUAUAACAUCUUUAAUACUUGAAAGAUAAAAAAUUUCAAGUGUUAAAAAAACUAAAAACACUUUUUAGACUCACUACCAAACGAAUUUUAAGCAUUUAAAUCAAUUUUAUUGUAGAACUCGGCCGAUCAUAAAGAUAAUUAUACACUCAGACAGACAGGAAAAUACAUCGGACAGAAUACAGAGGACAUUAUUCUAAAAUACAUAACCAAGACAGGAAAUUACAUCAGCCAAAACAUAGAGGACAUUGUUCUAAGAUAUACCUAAUCCAGUGAAGGAUAUUAUUAAUCCAUGAUUUUCCUAAUCUACAAGGGAAUUGAAUCACUCCAAGAGGGGCCAUCUAGAGCUGAAGACCUUCUUCCAGGAUGGUCUAUUACUGAUAUCAUCCCACCAUGCCUUCACGUGUUUCCUCUCCUCAAUCAAAUACAUCUUCCCCAUAUCAGCCAAGUACUUUGUGAAUGGAAGGUGGCUAAGAUCAGCAAGGCUAAAGAAAUCCCCAGCCAGGUACUUGCUCUUGGACAGCCUCUCUUCAUAGAUGUCCAACACCUUUGCAAGCUUCUUUUCACUCUCUUCGAUCACUUUCGCAUCUGGGGGAAUACCCCGUUUGCGGCCAAACAGAAUUUCAAUGACUAAAUUGUCAAUUGCUGGGUGGUAACUUUGUGCUUCAACCUCCAGCCAUUGUUCCACCACUCCCCUCUCCUCUAUUGUCUUCCCCAGUAAAUCAGUUCCUUGAGACUUGUACUUCUCAGCAUAGUACCUCAUGAUUGCACGAGAUUCUGAAAUUCAAAUCAUACUCAUUCAUCAAGAACCCAAAGGGCCUGUUUGGUAAAACAAAUAAAUUGUUUUCAGCAAUUCAUGGGGUUCUAAGCUUUACUGAAAAGAUCAACUUUGAGACUAACACAUCAUAAAUCACUUAAAGAGUGAAAAAGAGCAUUCUAAUCUUAAGUGGAAAUGUUGUCUUUAUAAGAAAGGCAUUUCUGUAUAUGGAAUACUACUAUAGAAAUUCUGUGAUAGAAAUUUAUUAGAAGUGAGAUCACUGAAAAUUACCAAAUAAGGUAUAGUCUCCAUCUUGAAUGACAGGAACAACUCCAAAAGGCUGCAUUUGAUGAGAGAAAGAAGCAUAAAUUAUCAACAAUAUGUACAACAAAUCAAGAAAUUGUGAUACUUCAAUCAUUAAGCCUUUGUUUGGCUCUCAACAACUGCUGCAAAAAAAAAAAAUGAAAGGAAAUUUAAUGAAGUUCGAGUUUGAACUCCAUCAAUUCCUUCUCUGUUGAUCUUAUUUCUACUUAAAAGCUUUUCGAAAUCAUCAGCUUUUUCACUAACACCACAAAUCGAAAUCGUCUCGUUUCUUAUGUUGUUCCUGAGCUCAAAACAAAGCUUUAAACGACAAGAAGAAAUUAGAACCUGCAACUUCAGGAAUUCUGGAUCCUUAUUCUGUCCUUUGAUGAUAUCAAUGGGGAGAGUCUCGAAUUCGACCUCCUUCUCAAUGAGGCAAACAAGCACGCGCUUUGCAGAAGCAAAAUCUGGGCCAUACACCUUCACCACCAUUGUUGUUAUCUUGAUUUAUCUCUCAAAGAUCUAGUAAAAACAACGACCGGCGUUUGGGUAGAGGGGUUGAUCUUGAGGCCUUACAUGUAGUGGUUUUUCAAAGUCCAAGAGAUUCGAGAUCAUGCACCUUCUGCGUAAAAAAUGGGCACAUACAGUCAGAUAUUUGAGCAGCUUAUCAUUAAAAAGGGAAGAUGAAGAUUAAAAAAAUAGCAGAUAUUCUCCAAUGCGACUUCAUGGAUAAGAAGAGAAGGAAGGAAAUCGUAGUUUGACUACUUCUUUAAACUUUUGAAAUAGAUUCUAAUACUCACAUUUUUAAUUAGAGAUUAGAAAAGUUUUUCUCAUAAAAUUAUCAGUACAAUGAUGAAAAUGAAUGAUAAAGAUAUCCACUUUGGAAAGAUUUUUGAAAAAUUGGUCAAAAAUCAAAGAGAUUAUAAAAGUUUUUCUCAUAAAAUUAUCAAUUCAAUGAUGAAAAUGAAUGAUAAAGAUAUCCACUUUGGAAAUUUUUUUGAAAAGUUGGUAAAAAAUCAAAGAGAUUAGAAAAGUUUUUCUCAUAAAAUUAUCAAUUCAAUGAUGAAAAUGAAUGAUAAAGAUAUCCACUUUGGAAAAAUUUUUGAAAAGUUGAUCAAAAAUCAAUAAUUAAAAUUUUUUAUUUCGUUAGAUUUGAAGAGUGGAAAUUUUUUUGGAAUUAAAUAUAGAUUUGGAAAAAAAAAUUAGAAAUCAGAUGAUUGAGAUUUGAUUUUAAACAUUAAGUAUAUUGUAAAAAUUAAUAAAAUUAUUAUUAGGUAAUUAUUGUAAAACCUUAGUGAGAAAAAUUAGUUGAAAUUUAUAUAAUGUGGAAUUGCUAUAAUGAAUUGUUAGAAAUUGAAUUUAAAAUUAUAACAAAUAAAUUUAGUUUUAAUUGGAAUUAAUAAUUUUGAUUUUGAGGAUUAAUUAAAUUGGUAAAAAUACAAGUAUAUGAUUUAAUGUUAUUAGAAAUUAAAUUUUAUUGAGACAUAAGAUAUUUAAUUUAGAAAAAAAAAUAUAAUAUAAUAAAAUUUUAAUUUUUGGGAAUUGAAAUAUGUUUAGGGGCAUGUAUAAAAAAAAUAAUAUGGAGGAGUUGUGAAAUAAUAAUAAUACUAGGCUUAUAAAAAAUUUUAGAAAAGAAUAUGCCACUGUCUGUAAAAAAAAAAAUAUUAAAAGUGGCGGAAAGCCUUGGUCAAAAAAUUUAGGGAAUAAAGGUUAAAAGAGAGAGAGAGAGAGAGAGAGAGUGGAAAGUGGCAUGAAAGCCACUGCCUAUAAAAAAAAGUAAGCCACCUCCUAAUAUUAAACUGGUGGAAAUUCAAUGAAAAUUAUGUUAAGAGUCAAAUUUAGUAAUUAUUUAUUGGUGGCACACUUCAUGUGAAUUAAAAAAAUAUUUGUGUGAAGAUUUAGAAUUAUUUUGAUUGUAUUUAAAAGAUGAAAUUAAAAUUUAUUAGUGAUAUAUUAGUGUUAAGAAUAAUGGAGAUUAUUGAUUGAAAAUUUUGAGUAUUGUUAUAUGUCUAAACUACUUGUUUUAUAGUAUUAUUAUUUGAGUUGGGUUCAUUCUACAUCCAUGGUUGUUUGGAAAAGAAAAGUAAAGAAAUCAUGAUAUGAAAUAAAAAUGAAAAUUAAAAGACCCUAAAUAAGGCAAAAAUGAAAAGGUUAAAAAUAAGAAAUGGAAGAACCCAACGAAUACGAAUUAAAAAUCAAGUGAAAUCUUUAGCGUGAUUGAGAAUUAAAAGACAUCGAAAAGGGUAAAAUUAAAAUAAAUUUUUUUAAAAAUGGUAGAUUUUCAAGAAGGACGAAUUAAAUAUAGAAUGAGAUCUCUAGUGUGUAAGCAUUUGGAUCAUGUUUGCUUCUAGAUAAAGAAUUUAUAUAAACUAAUUAAAUGACAUCAAAUGUAUGUUUGAAUAUAUUAUUAAAAAAUGAUUUAUUUAUUUUGUAUAGGAAAAUUAGAAAUAUUUGUUAUGAUAUGCAUGAUUAAAGAAAGAAAUGUGAUAAUGUAGAUUGAUGUAAUUUUGUAUGAUUGAGUUUCAUUUAAUGUAUAUAAUGAAUAAAAUAUUAUUAUAUUUUGGUAUUUUAUGAUAUUAUAUUCACCUAGAAUUGUUAACCUGUUCGUGUGCAAAACAUCUAGUUAAGCAACAUGGGAAUACUCACCUCUUUCUCUUUAAAAUUUUAAAGAUGUCAAUGUAGUUUAUGAGAAUCACAAGAAAACAAGGAAGAAUUUCAAUAAGUCCCAUGAAGUCAAGGAACAACCUCAAUAAUUGUUUUAAAUUUCUAUUAAUUUUUUUGGUAUGUACUACUUUGAGUUAUAUGGAUUAUAGUAACCUAACAUAUAUAUUUUAAAUAUUUUAUUCGAAAAGAAAAUCAUGUACUAAAUCCUAAUUCAAUAAAAUUAAAUGAAACUAGAUAUCAAUUUAUUUUAGAAAAAUCAUAUUAUGAGGUUGAUUGUCAACUUGGAUAAGAGUAACCUCUAAGCUCACACUUUCGAUCUAGGUCAUGAGUUUGGCUCUAGAUUAGUAGGAAUUCAACAGUGACAUAUGCCUUGAGGAACCCACUUGAGAAAUUUGGUUUCUUGAAAGGUAACAAAUGAAGUGGUUAAGCUAGCAAUAAGGGAAGAGAGACUUGUUUUGGGAAUUUCUUCAAAUUCCAUACUGUUCUCUCCCUUUCUGUUUGACAUUUAAGAGUAUGAUGUGUUAAUCUAUCUUCAUACUCUUCCAUCUAAAGAGCAGACUGGGUUGAUUUUGAUCCAUUCUACGUUCAUCCCUUUCUUUAAAGGUGACCCACACCUUAAGAUUUUUGGUACAAUGUCCUACACUUGAAAAAUACCAAGCUCCAAAUGGAGAAAGAACACCCAUAAGCAUUCAAAUUGUUAUUCUUACAAAACCAUGGACAUAAAUCCUCAAGAGGACAACAAACAAGAUAGGAGAAAGAGAGCAGCCAGCCCUAGACAUGGAGGACAUUAUUUGAAAAUGUAAAUGGAGAAAGAACACCCAUAAGCAUUCAAAUUGUUAUUCUUACAAAACCAUGGACAUAAAUCCUCAAGAGGACAUCAAACAAGAUAGGAGAAAGAGAGCAGCCAGCCCUAGACUUGUAGGGCAUUAUUCCAAGAUUGGGGCAGGGUAGAGCUCAAGGACCUUUUUCCAAGAUGGCCUGCUACUAAUAUCAUCCCACCAUGCACUCACAUGCUCUCUCUCCUUAAUCAAAUACAUCUUGCCCAUAGCACCCAAGUAGUUAGUGAAAGGAAUGUGGCUGAGAUCAGCAAGGCUAAAGAAGUCCCCAGCCAAGUACUUGCUCUUAGACAGCCUCUCCUCGUAAAUGUCCAACACUUUCCCAAGAUUUUUCUCACUCUCUUCAAUCACUUUUGCAUCUGCAGGAAACCCCAUCUUGUCACUGAACAGAACGUGAAGAACUAAAUUGUAUAUUGGUGGGUGGUAGUUUUGUGCUUCAACCUCUAGCCACUGCUCCACAGUACCCCUUUCCUCUAUUGUCUUCCCAAGCAAAUCAGUUCCUUGAGACUUGUACUUCUCUGCAUAGUACCUUAUGAUAGCUCUUGAUUCUGCAAAUCAAAUUAAGAGCCAUCCAUCAAUGGUUUAUUUUUCUGAUUUUAGUUACAUAAUAUGAAGAAAUUUUGCAAUCCUUGACAUAAUUUUUCCUAGAAAAUUUCCAACCAAAGAAAACAAACCUAAAUACGAAAGGAUCACAAAAAUUUUACAAAGGGAUUUACCAUAUAAAGUAUAAUCUCCAUCUUGAAUGACAGGAACCACUCCAAAAGGCUGCAGUUCAUCAGAGAAAAGCAAUGGAAACUAUAAGCAGAUCCUCUGAUAGAUAUAGUUGAAUUUGAAACAUCAAGGGUGAUCCAAAAAAGGGUUGUAAGUUUAAUUUUGAAAAACUCCUCUUCAUCUUCUCUCAAUUUAUAAUCCUACCUUUUAAAACCAGAAAAUGGGCAGUAUCAAGAAAUUCAGCUUUCUGGGUAACUUUAAAAUCAAAAUUCCUCCUUUUUCUUGUUCUUUUUCCAAAGACUUUACUGAGAAUCAAACAGACCCUGAUCCAAAAUAAAAAAUUCCGAAAAAAAAAAAAAAAAAAAUACCUGUAACUUGAGGUAUUCAGGAUCCUUGUGCUCUCCUUUGAUGAUAUCAACUGGGACAGUCUCAAACUCAAUCUCCUUCUCAACAAGGCAAAUAAGGACACGCUUUGGACAAGCAAAGGCUGGGCCAUACACCUUCACCACCAUUUUUUUUUCUUCUUCGUUUUUUUUCAGGGCAACCAAACAGCUUUAAUAACUGAAUACUAAUAGCCCUUGAAGAGAGCCGUGAAUAAAUUUAUCACUCCAUCUUUCUCCUUUUCAUUUUUUCAAACUAGUACAUAACCGCACCUUUAAAAUGUGAUUAUAUUUGAUAUUUUCUUUAAAGCAUUAUAAAUAAUUUUUCAAAGUUUUAAAGGCAAAAGAUGACGUUUUAUCAUCUUUUUUUUCUUCAAAAGUUUUGCAAUAUUUGGUUUCGAAAGUAUUAAGAAAAAAAAAACGAAAAUUGGUUUUCUUAUGUUUUAUUUUACCGUAAAAAAAAUAUAAUUAAAAUUAAUUAAAAUUUUAUGCAUUUUAAAAUUAUUUAACAUUUAUAUAAUAAAAAAAUAAGUUAAAUGAGUUUGAAAAAACCAUAUAAAAUAAUUUUUAAAAUUUAAAUCUAUUUUUUAUUUUCAUUUACUCUUUUUUUUUCCUUUUAUAUUUUAUUUUUAUUUUUAUUUUCUCAUAUUUUUUCUUGAAUUUUUUGAGAGCCAAACAUACCCUUUAUGUUUUAGGUUUUCAAGAGUAUUGUCAAACAAAUAUUAACACCCUAUUUGAUAACUAUUUUUUAAAAUUGUUCUUUAAUAUUUUAUAAAAUAAAAAUCUUUUUGGAACCUAAAAUAAUUUUAACAUGUUUUUUUAAUAAUUUUUAUGUUUAAAGCUUUAUUUUUAAUCAUUAUACAUGUUUGUUUAAAACAAAUGAAAAUAACUAAAAAUAACUAAAAGAUGUGCAAAAAAUAGAUUUUUGAUUGUCAAAUAUGUUUUUCAAUUUUUUUUCUAAGAAAUAAAAAAUUAUUCUCGAAAACAAUGGUAAAACAAACCCUAAACCAUUGAGCCUGACUCAAAACUUACACGACAUUGAAUUUAACCAAUUUCGUUGGUCCAAUUGGGGUCAAUAUUCUUUUGUAGGCCAGCCUGACAACCCAACCCUUGACAGGUCAUGUAAAUGUUGUCCACCCUCCCUUUAUCUUUGGUUCUAAUAGUUUAUAAAUCAUCAUUUUCAAUAAUAUUUCAUAAAUUAUGAGUUCCUUUUUUCAUAGUCAUAUGUUUCAACUAUGUUGAAUGAAUGAAUGGUAGCAACUCCUAUCUUCCUCUAUAAUGACAGAGGUAGUUUUGAGAUGACAAUUCCAACUUAUCCAACACUUUCAAUGAGUCCAUUUCCAAAAUUAUGCCUAACCUUUGAAAAAGGUGCUUUCAAAUAUUAUAUAUAUAUAUAUAUAACUGAAUUAAGUUUAUGGAUUUACUUAGACCAUUUUAUGGAUCAAUAGAGAAUUUUGAUUUUUGAAACAUCUUUCAAUCUUGUUCGAGAUGGUCUAACCAACUAAUCACUAAGUUAUCAAAGGUAAGAGUCGUAUCCCACUAAGAAUACAUGUAUCACUAUCCAACCUAACUUUUGAUUCAUUUUUCAUAUCAUGAUUCAUUUCCAUUUUCAUUCUAUUUCAAAUCUUAUUUUCAUAAACAAAACCCACCAUUAGAGUUUGUUUGCUUGCUACUCCAAAACAAAAAUUGAGAAAAUAAAAAUAAAAAAAAUAAAAAAUGAAAGCAUGUUUAGGGAUGAGUUAAAAAAAAAAUCUUAAAAAUAAAAAUUAAAUAGAGUGUUUUCUCAUAAUAUAUUUAAAUUGUUCUUACUUGUUUUCUAAGAAUUAUUUUUUAAAAAUACUAUUCAUAAAAAUUAAUUUUUUUAAUAUUUAAAAAGAAAUAAAACAAGUUAAGAACAUUUAAAGUUUUCAAACAAAAUUUUAUUAUGCAUAAUAUUCAAAAAAAUAAUUUAAAACUUAUAAUUAUUUUUAAAAAUAUUUUCCCAACAUAACCUUAAUUUUCUUUUUUCACUCACCCCAAAGUAUAUAAAAUACAUAGUAACAAUUGUUAUUAAAAAAUUAGCUCUCUUUUCUUUUUAGAACUAUCAACCAACCAAUAUUUGUGUGUAUGAGUUCCUACAUAUAUUUGGUUAUGAUUUAUUUAAAAAUGAAUAUACCAUCUUUCAAUAACUACAAUAAAUAAAUAAAUAUAUAUAUAUAUAUAUAUAUAUAUAAUUACAAAUUUUAAUAAUAUUUUAUUUUUAUAUUUGAUAUAUCAAAUUAAAUAAUAAAGAUAAAUAUAAAUGUAUUUUGAAAAAAAUCCAAUUUUUAAGCUCAUUUAUACCCAUUUUUUAAAGAACUCAUCUGAACUCUCCAUUUUCACACUUAAUCUUUACCAUUCAUUUAAGGACAAACCCUGAAACUCAUAUCUUCCUAUCACCAACCACAUCUCCCUUUUUUCUCCCAUCUUUCUUUCCCUUUCUCUUCUUUUCUUUCUUUCUCUCUCUCUCUCACCAUACCCACGCCUAUUGUGACCACCAACCACCUCUUGCCAACAACUCCUAUUGUUAGUCACUGGCGUCUCAUUCCCACCCCCUCACUAUCUCUCUCAUGAAAAAAAAAGACAUGUUGUGAAUCGAUUCAUUGGAAUCGAUGAGGUUUAACAAUAUCACUCUUAAAAGUCAAAAAGCAUAUUCCAAACAAGAUAUUAUUCAUAGAUGAUGGAUUUCAAGGAUUUUCAAGUUGAUGGAUUUCAACAAAAUUCAAGAUAGAAAUUGAACUUUGUAAUAAACUUUAUAUUAAAAUAAUACUUUGAUUAUAGAAAGUUUGAAUCUUGAAUUGAUACAAAACUUUGAUUACAAUGAAAUGUUUUGAAUACAAGAGAAGAGUUUGAAAAAGAGAGACAUGAUUUUUUUAAAAGGAUCUAAGAAAUUAUCCACCCACUUGAACCCUAAGGGUAGCUCAGUUGGUCCUAUCUUGAGUUUGCUCCCCAAUCAUCAUUAGUUCAAGUUCUUUCAAGAUCGCUAAGGCUUACUCUCGUUAAGCCCACGAUUAUAAAAAAAAAUUCCACCAACAACUCUUGAAAUUCACCCACAGUGCUAUAAAUGAAUGGAAUUUGCUCUUCCUAAUAUUGUUACGGUUAAUUGGAUAUAUAUAUAUAUAUAUAUAAUUAUUCUUUUAAAGAACGAAUUUUUCAGUUUUUUAAAACUAUUUUGAAUAAUAUAUAAAAAAUAAAAUUAGCACAGAGGAAAGAUUUAAUUGAUUUCUGGCGAGGAAAAGUAUUCCAGAAAACUAGAUUUCAAAAUGUCAAUCACCUUCUGUUUGGGUUGAGAGAAAACUAGGGAUAAAAAGAAAAAGGGGGAAACUUUCAAAUCUCAAAUCCGUAUUGAUUUGGUUCCCAGAACGUAAGAUUAAAUAAGGAAAAAAAUUUGACAAACCCACCUCAAGCAGCGAUUUCCCUAGUAACCCAAAGUAACGAAAGCCACAAGAUUCAUUUUCCUUGUGUAAAAUUUUCUCGGCAACCAAAAAGAGACGGAAAGGAAGAAACGAGCCUUCAGAGGUGUGUGCGCAUCAUCACAAGGCCCAGAGGAGGGGUGCGUACAGGGAGAGUAGAGAAAGUGGGAGAAGAAGAAACGAGCAGCAGAUGUUAGAAUUCAGAUUGAAAACUAAAUCAGCAUCAUUAAAUUGACGAAUGUUCUUUCAGGUUUUCAUGUCCACAUGUAUCUGCCGCUUCAAGUUUUGCCUCUCUUCUCCUGCCUUUCUCAAAGCCCCUCUUCACCGCCCCCUUCUAUCGGAUCCUGGUGCGGUGGGUCCUUAUAUAUCAGUCAUGUGGGAGUUAGGGUUUUUUUUCUUUGGUCCUAGGUCUGCAUAGGUUAAAUGUACUAUUCAUAAUUCAAAUUCUCUGGGUGGGUCUAAACGCUAACAAUUCUUUCAGUCUGAAGCUAACAGUAACCACAGACUCAUCAGGUUGAGUUUUGGCUGAAUGGUUCCUCUUGCAUAAUUGUAUUUGAAAUUAAUAAUAACUUUUGCUAUCAAGUAAAAAGCAAAAACCAAAAAUUGAA
Molecule: long non-coding RNA, 49170 nt
Filed under: Vitis vinifera (wine grape)
Lineage: Eukaryota; Viridiplantae; Streptophyta; Magnoliopsida; Vitales; Vitaceae
Description: long non-coding RNA (VVIN_LNC003650)
Source: RNAcentral